This 45985-nucleotide long non-coding RNA is filed under the name Citrus maxima (pomelo). RNAcentral's name for it is "long non-coding RNA (CMAX_LNC001162)". The record is from RNAcentral. Lineage: Eukaryota; Viridiplantae; Streptophyta; Magnoliopsida; Sapindales; Rutaceae.
CACAGCUUUCUUAGAUACCCCAUACCCAUCCACACUAAAUCCAUAAAAAAAAUAAAAAAAUAAAACUUUACAAAUUUGAAAACCCUAGCCGCCACAUCAACCUCCACCGCCGCGGCCCACCACCGCCGAUCAGCCAGCCAACACCACCACAAACCUCGCUAGCCACUUCCGACCAAGCCGCAGCGAUCGCUGCCUCAACUGCCGCCUGAACAGCCGCAAAUCACCAACCCAAACCCGCGACUCCACCAAGCAAUCCACCACCAUUCAGCCACUUUCACCGCCAGCCACCUCCACCAACAAACUCGCCGGCCUCCGUUGACCAAAAACCGACCAACUUCAGCCCUUGAUCGCGGCCUGCAGUCACCAGACGAAACGACAACCCACGAGUGCUUCCUACACGCGCCGCCACCAAACCACCACCUUUUUCCGUCAAUUUACACCACCACCAUACUCCCUAGCAGUCGGCGACCGUAAAUCCAGUCGUCCGCCACCGUAAGGUAGCCAUAAACUGAAAGGCAAUUCAAAUCGGAUUUCCGCCAAUUCAAGUUGCUGAAUAUAAAAAGGGCUCAUAUGGAAAUUACCUAAAGUUUCAAAUAUUGUUAUUCAGCAACCAUUUUUAAGUUACGUUAGUUUCUACACAAAUUUUAUAUAAAUAAUUUAUAACUCCCAUUAUUAUUUUUAAAAAAAACUGUAGCAAUUGUGGUUAUGUCACAUGAAAAAAAUUCUAAUUAAAGAAAUUGACAUUAUAAUUUAAGGGAUAGUUGCUCUUUUAAUCAUUAAAAUUUAAGUCAAUUAUCCAGCUUAUCCUUGCAUUCUUAAAAACUAUAUACAAUACCAUUAUCUCUGCUUUUGUAGCUAUUGAAUUCGACUUUCACGACAUAAAUAUUUAUUAGCAACAACUUGAAAUUCAAAGAAACCUAACAUGCAAUGUAUGGUUUAAAAAUAAUAACUAAACAGAUUUUGAUUAUUUAAUAUUAAAAUAUAUUCACAUUAAUAUCAUAAGGAUAUGUGAUACUCAAUUUUUUUUUUAAAAUCAAACCCAAAUUAUAUGUAUUGUUAAUGUGUGUUAUUGUCUAAUGUUUGGAUUUUACUAAGUUAGAACUGUUGUAACUUUAAUUCUCUUAAAAAAAAAAAGUGGGUCCCACCACCUAUUAAAUUUUUUUCAUUAUUUUUGAAAAGACUGUAAAUUACAUUAGCUGUAACUUAACAGCACCCUUAAUAUUUUAAUUUAUUUUUAUACCUUUACAAAACAAUACCAACAAGACAAUAAUGUAUGAAAUAAAUAAAAUAACUAAAUAAAGAACUGAUAGCAAAACUAGACUUAUCAUUAAUUUCUCGUAGUGUGAACUCUUGACAAUCCUCCCCUAGGACCCCCUAUGUUACAUACAUGUAACUUACAAGCCUCUUACAUGAAUAGUGAGUGAUGUAGGCCCACUCACUAUUCAUAUGAGAGGGUUGUGAGUUACAUGCAUGUAACUUAGCAUUAGCCUCCUCACCUAUCCCACCUAAAGCUCUCGCAUGGUGUGAACCUUUGACGAUUUUCCCGUAUCCCUCCAAAAGUUUCUCAUAUUGUGAAAAGCAUGUCAAUUGCAAUGUCGUUUCCCAUUAGUCAUAGUGGCAGAUACGACUAGAAUUUUUUGAAACCCCUGAACUUAUUUUUCCUUUUGAAAAUAAGAAAAGGACACCUGUCUGGAGAAAUAAUUUUGUAGAGCAUCAUGAUAUCGUGCAUAACAGACAAUAAGACUUCUUUUUUUUAAUUAAAAUAUUUUUUAAAUUUAUUAACUAAAAAAAUUAACUCUAAUAAUUUACAAUAAAUAUAAAUAGGAGAUUUAAAUAAAUAUAAUAAUAUAUACAUAUUAAAAUAAUUUCAAUAUCUAAAAAUAUUUUAAUAUUUUACAAUCUCGUAUUCUAUUAAACCAAAUUAUAAUAAAUAGAGACAUAAUAUUCAAAUAAAUAUAUAAAAAUUUAAGUUAUUUUCAAUAUCAUAUAAAAUAAUUUUAAUAUUAUUAAUACACGAGAAAUAUUAUAUUAAUUUUAAAAUCUAUUUAACCUAAGGAUUUAUUUAAAAAUUUUAUAGUAAUUACAAAUAUUUUAAAAAUACAAAUAUAUUAAUUUAAAUUUUAAAAAUUAAUAUUGAAAUUAAUUAUUUAAAUCAUAUUUACGUUUCGUAAAAAAUUUGAAGUCAAUGUUUUUUAAUUACCACCUGCUAAGGGUAUUAUAGUAAACGAGAAUAUUGGUGUUCUUUAUUAAAAAUUUAGGAUCUACAUGACUUUUUUUCUAAAUUUUAAUGGUGUCACUUUAUUUUUAACAAAAAUAAAAUUUCAUUUAAACAACUAAAAUGGUGAAUAAUACAAUACUACAGUGCGUAAGUGGAAGGUAGGAAACAAUCAAAAUGAACAGUCUAACGUUACAACAGGCAUAUAAGGCCAAAGUUUUUUAUAUCCCAAUACAACAAGCUUGAAACUUUGCACCUUCUGAAAUGAAACAAACUUACUUGAAUAUUAGCGAUUAGUGAGAAAAGCCCUUUUUCAAAAGCAACCUGAGGGUACCGAGUGUUACAACAGAUUUAAUGAACCAUAAGUGCUUAUUUACAUUGUAAUAUCUCAAAGUCACCAAUUACUUCUGAUCCGUUAAGGAAAACAAGAAAAAUAAAAGGAAAAGAAAAAGGUUACUUGUGCAGCACAACCUUGACGCCUAGCUACAUGGUAAAGAGAUUCUCUUUGUGCAUUUGAACCAAUCAACAAUAAUGGUGCCUUGACUUCUUGGAUUAGAGAAUUGAAAUCAUUGAUGAUGUUUGGUUCAUAAAAUAGAGGCAGAGAUCCGAAUCAAAAUUAUGGAGACUACUCAAAUGUAGGAAUGAAGAAUGAAAGAUUGAUUUCCAAAGAAGGUGGUUGGAAUCAAUCUUCCAUUCUCAAGAUUGAUCACUUUGCCCCUCUCACAAGCUAUAAAAUGUCUAUUUUGUCCUCAAUUAAAAAAUUAUUAUGAUUAAUUAAUAUAUGUUUAUAAUUAACUAAUAUAAUUAUUCUAAUUAAUUUAUACAUUUUGCAUUUAUUAUUAUUAAAUAAUUAAUAUAUUAUUGUAAUUAAUUAAUAUAUUAUUAUAAUUAGUUAAUAUAUUUUGAAUUUUAUUAUCAUCAUCAUCAUCAUCAUCAUCAUCAUCAUUAUUGUUAUGAAUGAUAAAAAAAUUUACAAUUAAUUAGUGUAUUAAUAUAUUAUUGACAAUAAUUAAUAAUAAUUAUAAUUUUUGAAUAAAUAAAUAUGUAUAAUUAAUUACUGAAUUUGAACAUUUUGCAAUUAUUCUAUUAUUUGGACUUAUCGAGAACUUACAUGCAGAGUAGCUAGUUUGCGAGUAUAUGUAAGGUUUAAUUUGAAUGCAUGCAGCAUUGAGGAGACAACGCAGAAACAAAAUUUUCGCUUGCGAUCUUUUCAUUUCCCUGUUUAGUAACAAACAAGACAGAGGAGAAACAGGGGUUCUCUUUUAAUUCCCCUGUUUUUCUGUAUGAUGAUUUUAAAAUUUUAUGUCUAUAUUUAUCAAAAAAAGUUAUUCAAAAUUAUUAUCUAAUUUUCAUACACGUUGAUUUAUUAAAAAUAAAUUUAAAAACUGCAAUUCUAAACUUAUCAUUGUGCUUUGACCUUGGGGUGGUUUUUCCCUUUUUAUUCGUAGGCCAGAACCUUAAUGAAGAAAGUUUUCGUCGUUAAUUGCUUUUGACCUAGGAGAAUUUAUUACUUUGCCUUUGAUGCGGCUCUUAGAUAUCUAUGCAAUUUGUGUCAUUUACUUUUGCUUUGGAUUCGUUUUUAAAUGAGUCCCGAUUGGUUCAUUGGCAGAUAAAUGAGUCAGUUUUUCUGUUUUAUUUUUUAUUUUUUUGAAGACGGUUUUUCUGUUACGAAGCUUUUCUUGGAUGAAUUUUUUUUUUUUUUAAUUUUAUAGAUUCUCUGCGAAUGCAGUUAGAAGUACCAAGUUUUGUUGGGUAGAAGGGUAUUUAAGUAUUUGCAUUUCAUAUUUUGACAUUUCCUUGACCUUUGAAGCAUUGAAUCAUAGUGUUGGUAUUUAAGUAAAUCUGCCCGCAAUGAAAAAUAGUUCAGAACAGUUGAGGAAGCAUGAGAAUACUUGAGGAGAGCCUGAUAAUAGUUACGGCCGGAUAUGCACUCUUUCCUCUAUAUGUGUCUUCAAUAUAAAUGGCUCAAAUAUAUGCGUUCUGAUCUUUUAAUAUUUCGCCUCUGAUAUUGCCCACAUUGCUUACUGCAAUACAUAAAGCACUUCGCUUACCCCAAAUCCUGAUAGGGAAGUAUAAAUAUAUGCUUCCGAAAUACGUGCAACUCUCCAUAAUUAUUUAAUAUGCCUCUCAAUGAAGCAAUCACCUUCAUUUACAACUCUUCCAUUAUUAAUCGUACAUGCACGUGUUUCUUUUGUCUCUAAAAGUAUUCUCAAUUAAUUUACAUAAUUUAAUAUAACAAGUACCUAAGACUAGACAAAUUAUCAUUACAAUAAAAUGAAUAAAUUGUAAUAGUAUUGACACAAUAAUGUCAAUAAUAAAAACCUUAACAAACCUAUAAAUUUUAGAAUAUGGCUCAAAGUGCUACAAUAAACCACAACAAGUUAUUAUAUCAUCUAUAAUCAAUAUUCUAAUGAUAACAUGGCUCCUUUAUUUUCAAUCCCCUACUUUUCUGUUUAGCGAUUUUCAAAUUUUAUAUUUAAAAUUCUUCUAAUUUUACUUUAUUUAUUAAAAAAAGGGGGGCAGGAGAGAGAGACUCAAAGAGUAUUAAAAAAUAUAAUUCUAAAUUUUCACUUGAGCGUUGUGUGAUUUUUAUUAUUUUUAAAGUUGGCCGUUUAUAUUGAAUAAAGGGAAAUAAUAUUUGGCCACCCUCAGGCCAUAGGGAAGCCAGAAACGAGAUGCUUAGGGCCCGUUUGGUACCGUUUUCAAGGCUUUGUUUUCAUUUUUGUUUCCAAAAUACAAACAUAAUACAUGUUUGGUAGGAUGAAUCCAAAAAUAAAUUAUAAAACAGAGAAUUCGUAUUCGCAUUUACAGUUAUAAAAUUGAGAACGACUUAAACACGUUCUCAAACGAUUACAAAUUAAAUUAAAAAAUGAACCCCAAAACAAAAUCUAAAAGUUAUCUUCCUCUCCCGAAAUCUUAUCCCCUCCCUCUCGUCAUCUCUUCACAGCUCUCCCUUCUUCGUGGCUGUCAUACUUCUCCUUCAACCACAACCCACCUGAACUGUGUACAGAUCUCUCUGUCUCCUCCCUCUUCAUCCAAGUCUACUUCAUAGCUCUCUCACUCUCGGUGGCUGUUACUCGUUCGUCAACCGCAAUCCACCGUCACCACUCUCUCUCUCCAUGCCCAAAAUCGACUGCUGCUCCAUCUCCGCUACUAUUGUUGCUCCGUCUCCGCUGUUGUUGCUUCGUCUCUACUCAAUUUGGACUACUGCUCAUGCUGCUCUUUGCUUCGUCUCUGUUACCAUCUCUACUCGCUGGUACUAGUCUUCAAUUUUUCGAUUUGAGUAAAUUGUGGGUGUGGUUCUUUUUGUUUCUUUUAGAUCCAAAUCAUAUUCAUUUAAUUUUUUAGACAAAUAGGAUGGUCAUUUCUUGAGCUCUGCAUUUGUAUCUUAUUUAAGGAAUGUUAGAGAAAGGAACGAUUUGCUAUUGGCUCGAUUUGUGAGAAAAGAAACACAUAUCUAUUUAGAUGCCCAUAUGAGAAAUAUGAGAAGGAAAGAAAUUAGGAUACUUGUCCAGUGAAUUACAAAAUUCUGUACUUGGUGGCUCCAUAAAAGUAGUUCAAAUUGAAAUUUGAUAGGAAAGCCUUUAAUGGGAAUUGUGCGACAGAGGAAAUAACCUUUUUCUUAGAGUUUUUGAUUUUUUUUUUUACUCAAAAGUCUAUUAAUUCUUAUUUCCUAUAUGAAUUGCAGACAACUUUGUUUAGUUCGCUUGUAUUUUCAUUGAUUAAAAGGGUAUGAAUUUGAUUGAGAAGUGUUUGGCUAAAGUGAAUCUUGGAUGUAUUUAUUAAGUUUAAUGGAACAAUCCUAGUUAAUUUUGAUGAUUUAUACAUGCAUUUAAUGUCAUUUUUAAUAAUUCAUGUGCAGGAAAUAUGGAUUCUUGGCUUUGCUUGGACUUAUGGUUUGCACAAUUUCAUUUGGGAUCAAUAAGCUUCAAGGAUAAGCACUUGUAGUUCAUCCUUUUUUUUUCCAGAUGGGACUUGCUUUUCUUCCAUCCAUCUUUUUAAUUCUCUAUUUAUGUGGUAGCAGUUUUAUGUUUUGUGUUGUUCUGGAAAGUACAUGUUGAAAUUUUGUCAAACCCUGUUGGCGUACUCUAAUCACUUUGCUGCAUGGCGCAAGCAUAAACACUGUUGUUGUUAGAGCUUGUUUACACAAAAUAAGUGUAACUUGAAAGUACAUUGUACACUAUUAAAUUUGAUUUAUCUCCAGCAACUAUUAACGUAUGAUGUCUAUUAUGUAAUUUUUUUAUAAUUAUUUUGUUUAAUUUAUUUGUGUUGUAAUAUGUAACUUAAGUAUACUGUAAAAAUAAUGAUAAUGUCAAACUUUUCCCUAUUAAUGUUAAUACUAAAACUUUAUCAUUAUGUGAUUUUUUAUAAUUAUUUUGUUUAAAUUAUUUAUGGUAAUAUGGUAUGUAUGUAUAUGUAUUAAUUAAACAAUUUUGGUAAAAAUUAUAUUUGAAAAAAGUAUUACCAAACGCAUAUUCUCUGUUUUUAUCAUUUUCAACUGUGUCUACCAAACGCAUAUUACUGUUUUUAAUUUUAAAAUACAGGAUAUAGAAAAUGAUACCAGACGCAUAUUUAAAUUUGAAAUACAGAAACUACAAAACACCAUUUUCAUUUUUAUUUUUAUUCUCAGAAAAUAUAAAUUCAGAAACAAUACCAAACAGGCCCUUAGUGUGCCGUUUUUGGAGCUUUAGAUUGGUAGACUAAAAAAAAACUUUAUCAUUAAAAUAUAUGAUGUUAAAAACAAACUUUACCAUUAAAAUAGAAAAUCUGAAAAAGCCAAAUUCUUUACUAUUCUCUCUCUCCCACUCAGUCACCCGCUCUCCCUCUCACUCUCACCCAGAAGCUCUCUGCCCCUCUCGCCCACGAAGCUCGCUGCACGCCACCCGCGAAGCUCUUGUCACGCCACUCCCAUCACUGACCAGUUGUCUCACGUCGACGAUCAGCCAUCACGCUGUUCACUAUUGGUGUUCAAUUUUUUGGUACUUUUUAUUGUUGGUGUUUGGAUUUUUUGUUGUAUUUAUAUGCUGAAAUUACUAAAAAUAAGUUUUUUGAAAUGUAGAUUUUUUCUGAAUUAUAUAGGUUAAUACAAUAUUUUUUUUCAUGAUAUAGAAAUGACUGAUUUAGAAAAAAAAAAUGUGAAGUUGAUGAUUUGGAAGAAUUAGAUGACAACAAUUUAGAUGGAAACAAUAAAGAAAGUGAUAAUUAAGUCCACCUUCUCAAAGAAAACAAUCAAAGGUUGAGAAGAAAUAUAAAAAGAAAAUUAAGGUAAGAUUAAAAUACUUAGUUAAUUAUUCUACAGUCAAUUUAAUUUUAAUUUCUCUUUUAAUGGACUUGCAGAACUUAAACGUAGAAACACCGUUAUCUUGUGAGAUCGAUACUAUAGUCUCAAUACAGGAGAGCAACAAGGAUUCAGUAAGUUUUGUGUUCUUUGAUGUAAUACUAUUUAAUUCUUUUUAUUUUUAAUGGUCACUAAAUAUGCCAUUGUUGUAUUUUUAAUGGUCACUAAAAAGUUGCCAGUACAUUCUUUAUUUAGGCACCUGUGUUCGCAUGCCAAUACAAGAAUGUGAUAUUUAUCCAUCGUUUCCUUUUGAUUCUUACACUGUAACUUAUAAUCCAAUUUAUAUAUUUUAUGUCUAAUUAAUUUUUCAUUUUUUGGGAUUUAAUAUGGUUCUUAUUUUGUGCUAACUAGCAAUCUCUAUCACUCUCAUCGCGUUCAUCCUUGUUGCCUUAUUCUUCGUCUUGGAUACCAUGUGGAGGAUCUCAACAAGGGAGUUUUCAACAUUUACUACUUCAACAAAAUGACAAUGACAAAGAAGUUUGAAGCGGACAUAACGAAUUAAUCAUUGACUUAGUCUUUUGUUGUAUAAUUUUAGUUGUGGUUUGUGUAUUAGUUGGUUGGAUGAUAUUAUUCUAAUGCUCAAUGAUCGAUGGAGUCAUGUCAUCUUACCUUAUUCUUAAUUGAUUGUGGAAACAUUUUGAACGUUUUUUGUCUAUAUAUUCACAGGUUGAGUAUGUCAAUAUUUUAGGACAGAUUUUGACAAAUCUUUCUUUUAUUUUGUAACCUAAGAAUGAUGCAUGCAGGUUCGUAAACUGAAGAAUUGUUCCAAAGCAAAAAUGAAGGUGAAGUUUUUGUGAAAAUAGUAUUUUAUGACGUAAAUGAAACCUUUAUGACAACAAGAGUAGUUCAAGCAACGUGAAUGGCUUAGAAAUGCCAAAUUAACAAAAACCCAAAAAAUAUCAGGUACAAUUAUUCACUUAAACAAAUUGCAUAACGAAAUUGCCAUUCCUAAAAUACACAACACAAUGGAAAGAAUAAUUCAAAAAUUCCAACAAUCAUUCUUAACUUCAUCAGUUUGUACACUCUUAUCACAUGUUUCCACGUUAGUCUUCCUAGCUUCUAGCGUAAUUGAAGUAGGGAAUUGGGUGUUCAUAUAUGCCAGGCUGACGUGCCUCAAAUACAACGUAAUAGGUAUAACGAGCCUUUAGGUUUCUACAUAUAUUCGAUAAAAAUCAAAUACAAAUGUUGAAGUGUGAGUUGUGUAACUGAUUUUCAAAGAGUUAUACGGCAUGUCAGCUCGUGGUUGUAAUAGCAUAUGACAUGUAGGUUGUAGUGAUUCGAAACCAUUUGACAGUGUUAACUGGUCAUCCAUUUAUAGAAAAGUAAAGCACGUGAUCAUCACAUGCUUUCACUUAUCAACACGACCUGCUGAGUUGCCGUUUUGGAGCCUUCAUCAAACGUGAAACAAACACGUGGCUCAAGGGCUGUUAUAUUCUGUUACAAGGGCGGGAAAAUUCUGGGUUUUGGUUACAGAGGACAGCUGACUGGUGGUGGGGUCUCUUAAGCGUGUAUAUAUAGCCUUAAGAGAAAAGAGAUCAGUGUGUGUGAUGCUUGUAACUUCAUCUAUAAACUCGUAUCUUGUUCCUGGUGAUUGAAUAAAGAUUGUUGCUCUGUUCUUCAGUGGAUGUAGGCCAUCUCCAGGCUGAACCACUUUAAUUCUGUUUCUCUUUGAUUGCUAGUUUUUGUUAGAUUUAUUUGUCACAUUAUGUGGACUGGCAUAAAUCAUUCUAAUUAUUUUCUAUAUUUUACCGAAUUAAUACGUGACUAAUGUCAAAUAUUAUUGAGCAAUUUUGACAGACUCAUUUAUUAAGUGAUCAAAUAUUAUGUUAAUGAGUCUAUUUUGACAUACCCUAUACAGUAGUAUAUUAUGGACAAGUACAUCCUUAAUUGUGUUAUUUUAGCCCAUAAUGGGAUGGGCAAUUUUGUACUAACACAUGAGGGGUCCCUGCGCUCAACCGCUAUAUUUAAGUAACUUCAGCCCAUUGGGAGUUAACUGUUGGAAAAAUCAGUGGCAUGUGUGCAGUGCACCUCUCUCUCCCUCUUCUCUCCCGUGUGUGUGUUUGUGUGUACAGUAACUUAGAGAAGCAAAGCCGAUCCGUGAGCUGAAGCAAGGGAAACUGAAUUCAGAAGCUAGAUCAAGCAAGUAGCAACUCUCUUGAGGCUCCAUAACAAGCUUUCAAGGUCGGAUUCAUGGGAGAUCACGGUAAUUUCGAAAUUCCCUAAACUAUGUGUUUAAUUUGGAAAUGCACGAUUAAGGGCAUAAAGUUUGUUUUUGUUUCAUCAAUUGGUAUCAGAGCCCAUGGUUAUGCAUUUCCUUGUAAACCAUAGUUGAUUUUUUGGUGAAAUCUCACUCAUGGAAUUUUUCCUUUAAUUUCGGAUUUUUCGAAUUUGAGCAUAUUUGAUCAAAUCGUUGUUAAAUAGUGCAUGAGUGAUGAUUUUGGAGCAAAGAUAUAAUUUUUCCGUGAUUUUUGGUGACCAAAAUCGGGAUGGUAUGAAUGAGGUUACUGUAAAUUCACUGUAGCAACACUGUUGAGACAUCCCGAGGUUGAAGAUGACAUGGUGGGAUAAUUUCGUUUGGAUCCCUCAUGUAUAAGUGGAAGGAUGUCCAUGCACGAUUAAGGGCAUGGACAUCAUUUUGUUAUUGUUUCGAAAUUCCCACUGACUUAGCAUAUAUAAGUGGAUUCAAAUAAUCCCAUAUGCGUCACAUGCUCCUUAAAUACUUUUGGAGCUAAAGCUUUAGUUAGUGGAUCGGCUAACAUGAGUUCUGUAGGAAUAUACUCUACUGAUACACAAGAUAGAGCAAUUUUCUCUCUCACAAACAAGUAUUUAAUAUCAAUAUGCUUGGAAUGUGAGGAACUCCCUGUGUUGUGAGAAAAAGAAACAGCCGCAGAAUUAUCACAGUAUAUUUUUAAUGGCCUCGGUACGGCCAAUAUACAAUCUAGCCCUGUGAUAAAAUUCUGCAUCCAUAAAGCAUGACGUGUAGCCUCAAAACAUGCUACAUAUUCUGCUUCCAUUGUUGAAGAAGCUAUGAGUGUCUGCUUGACACUUUUCCAUGAUAUAGCUCCUCCUGCCAUCAUAAAGAUGUAACCUGAUGUGGAUUUCUUGUCUUCCAAGCACCCUGCAAAAUCAGCAUCAGAAUAUCCAACUAUAUUCAAAUAGUCAGAUUGCUGAUAUGUCAAUACAAAAUCUUUAGUGCCCUGCAAAUAUCUGAGUACUUUCUUUGCAGCCUUCCAGUGUUCAAAUCCAGGAUUGCUCAGGUAUCUACCAAGUACUCCCACUGGAAAAGCAAUAUUAGGGCGAGUACAGACUUGAGCAUACAUCAAGCUACCCACAACGGAUGCAUACGGGACUGUUGACUCCUCUGAGUUGCUACUUGCUUGAUCUAGCUUCUGAAUUCAGUUUCCCUUGCUUCAGCUCACGGAUCGGCUUUGCUUCUCUAAGUUACCGUACACACAAACACACACACGGGAGAGAAGAGGGAGAGAGAGGUGCACCGCACACAUGCCACUGAUUUUUCCAACAGUUAACUCCCAAUGGGCUGAAGUUACUUAAAUACAACGGUUGAGCGCAGGGACCCCUCAUGUGUUAGUACAAAAGUGUCCAUCCCAUUAUGGGCUAAAAUAACACAACAAUUAAGAAUAUAUUUGUCCAUAAUAUACUACUGUAUAGGGUAUGUCAAAAUAGACUCAUUAACAUAAUAUUUGAUCACUUAAUAAAUGAGUCUGUCAAAAUUGCUCAAUAAUAUUUGACAUUAGUCACGUAUUAAUUCGGUAAAAUAUAAAAAAUAAUUAGAAUGAUUUAUGCCAGUCCACAUAAUGUGAGAAAUAAUCUAACAAUCUCCCACUUGGACGACAGAAAUCACUCUAAUGAUAAGUUUAAAAUAAAAUAAUAUUUUGAAAACAACCGAAUUAAUCAAUAUAUGACUAUAGCAAAAGGUCAAAUACAAGCAAUCACCCAAAACAUAAAUAAGUCCAAAAUGUGCCAUAAAUAUCAAAUCAUAUGUGCACCGACAGGAUGCUCCAUAUAACCUCUCCAUCCUCUAUAUAGAAAUGUGACCUAACCGUUUAUGCCACAACAUAAAGGAAUUUUCAUCAAUCCUGGCACGAUUAGAGCUAACAACAUGCAUAACAUGAGCAUUGGAUGAAGAUUCAACAGCACGAGAACAUACAUCAAUCAUAUAUAAGCCAUCAUAUAGAGUGCCAGAACCAACUAACUCUGAAUUGCGGAAUAAGUAAAUUUUCUGUCACCAAAAUGAAAAGUAUAGCCACAUCUAUCAAAAAUAGAUACAGAUAUCAAGUUUCUCCUAAUAGAAGGAAUAUAAGGUAUAUCUAAUAAAUCCAAAACAUGGCCUGUGGCUAGAUGUAAGCUGACAGCUCCUAUGCUUUCAACUUUGGCUGUCACUCCAUUGCCCAUGUGAACUAUCAACUCCCCUUCAUUGGGCUCCCUCCUGCUUCUGAAUUCCUGUAAGGAAUUCGUUAUAUUAAUGGUUGCACCAGUAUCCAACCACCAAGUAUCAGAAGGAACAUCAAUUACACUAGAUUCAAAGCCUACAAAGGCUACAGGAAUACCUUUCUUUUCCAACCAUGCUUUGAAUCAUCUGCAAUCAGCUCUUUUGUGCCCAGGUUUUUUACAAAAGUGGCACUUUCCCUUAAAGCUCUCAGAAGGGGAACCAGAAGUGGUAGAAGACUGACCACGUGAAAAUUUCUUUCCAAACUUUUUCUUCUUGAAAAACUUAUUACUGGUCUUUGAAGAGCUUUUCUUCACACUCCCACUCUCUUGAGUAGUUGUCAGCAUGACAGUGUGAGAUUUCCCCUUUUUCAAUGAUUCCUCUUCUUGAACCACAUAAGCAGUCAACUCAGUGAUAUUCCAAGUAUCUCUCUGAGCAUUGUAUUGGCUUCUCAAAUUGCCAAAUUGUGGUGGAAGAGAUUCAAGAAUUUGGAAGACCAGGUAGUCAUCAGGCAGAUUGACAUCCAUGUCCUUUAGCUUCUUAUGGUAAUUGGUCAUCUUAAGGAUGUGCUUUCUGACCCCAGAAACACCAUCAUACUGAGUAUUAGCAAGCAGCCUCAGAUAGUUACCCUUUUCUGCCUUAUCUACCUUCUUAAAAGUUCUUCCAACAGCUGCCAAGUAAUCUUUGGCCUUGUCACAUACAGGGAUGCUAUCUCUCGUUGUUCUAUCAAUGGUGUAUUUCAUUGUAUCCAGACAGUGUCUAUUGGAUUCAUCCCAAGCUGCCCACUCUGCUUUUUCAGCAGCAGUGCUCGUAUCUGUGGGCUUGGCUGGUUCAUCAACUCUUAAUGCCAAGUCUCUAUUCGAUGUAGACAGAUAAAACAAAAUGGACUCAUGCCAGUCCUCAAAAUUUGUCCCAGUUAAAUUCUUGAGGGAGGCUACUUGGAGAAAUGAGAGAAUAUCAAGAGCUGAGUCUGAUCGUACCAUUUAUUUUGAGAAUGAUCACAAUGGUGUGGGUUUUGAGCCUCGCAGUCUCACAUUAAGAGAAGAACGUGUGGUUUUGCCUAUUCGAUCUUUUCUGACUUCUGCGAUGGGAUUACCACAUAUUGAUGAUUCUUCUAUUGACCCUGAACUUCAUCAUGAUAUGGAGCCUAUGACUGUAGAGGAUGAUGGUACUGAUGUGCAAUUGAGGAGAUCAGAGAGGAUCAGGAGACCUGCAAUUUCUGAUGAUUAUGUUGUUUACUUACAGGAGCAUGAUUUUGAUGCUGACUCUUCAUCUGAUCCUGUUACCUUUCAAGAGGCCAUCAGUUGUUCAGAAUCCUCAUCUUGGCUACAUGCGAUGCAUGAUGAGAUGGCAUCUAUGUAUCAUAAUGGGGUUUGGGAUUUAGUUGAGUUACCAGAUAGAUGCAGACCAAUUGGUUGCAAAUGGGUUUUCAAAACCAAGAGAGAUGCCAGAGGUCAGGUAGAGAGGUACAAGGCCAGGCUUGUGGCUAAGGGUUUCAGUCAAAGAGAAUGCAUUGAUUACACUGAAACCUACUCUCUUGUUUCUACCAAAUACUCUUUUCGUAUUAUCAUGGCAUUGGUAGCUCAUUUCAAUUUAGAAUUGCAUCAGAUGGAUGUGAAGACAUCUUUUCUCAAUAGGAGCUUGUCUGAAGAUGUGUACAUGGUGCAACCUGAUGGUUUUGUUGAGACAGGUAGAGAAAACAUGGUGUGUAAGCUUAAAAGGUCCAUUUAUGGACUUAAACAUGCAUCCAGACAGUGGUAUUUGAAAUUUCACGAUAUUGUCACCUCUUAUGGGUUCCAGAAGAAUGUUGUUGAUCAGUGUAUAUACUUGAAAGUCAGUGGGAGCAAGUAUAUCAUUUUGGUGCUUUAUGUGGAUGAUAUCUUGCUCGCUGCUAAUGACACUAAUGUUUUACUUGAGACAAAGUAAAUGUUGUCAUACAGUUUUGAUAUGAAAGAUCUUGGUGAAGCCCAUUAUGUAUUAGGGAUAGAAAUUCUUCGUGACAGAUCUAGAGGAAUUCUAGGUUUGUCUCAAAAGACUUACAUUGAUCGCAUUUUAAAAAAGUUCAUUUACAGUCUUGUGCUCCUGGGAAAGCUCCAAUUUCGAAAGGUGACAAAAUUUCCAAGUCUCUAUGUCCCGAUAAUGAUGUAGACAAAGCUAGGAUGCAAACAGUCCCGUAUACGUCCGUUGUGGGUAGCCUGUUGUGGACAUGAGGACGAACACUGUUGAGACAUCCCGAGGUUGAAGAUGACAUGGUGGGAUAAUUUCGUUUGGAUUAUUCUUAAAUUUAAAAUUCUGAAAAAUCGCCAAAAUUUAAAGGAUUUUGGACUAAACUGCAGAAUUUUCAGAAUUAUGCUUAUUGUUUUAAAUAUUAAAACUUUUGGCCCAAAGUGUAAAUAAAAUAAAAUAAAAUAAAAUAUUGGGCCAUAAUAUAAUUUACCAAAAUUUAAGGGACCAACUGAUCUUUUACAAAGUUGACCCUCGGUCAAGGACCAUUUCAAAAAGUUUGCAAAUAUUUUGGGCCAUAGUGACAUUUCACAAAGUUUAGGGAUCCAAACGAAAUUAUCCCACCAUGUCAUCUUCAACCUCGGGAUGUCUCAACAGUGUUGCUACAGUGAAUUUACAGUAACCUCAUUCAUACCAUCCCGAUUUUGGCCACCAAAAAUCACGAAAAAAUUAUAUAUUUGCUCUAAAAUCAUCACUCAUGCAUUAUUUAACAACGAUUUGAUCAAAUAUGCCCAAAUUCGAAAAAUUCAAAAAAUUCAAAAUUAAAGGAAAAAUUCCAUGAGUGAGGUUUCACCAAAAAAUCAACUAUGGUUUACAAGGAAAUGCAUAACCAUUGGCUCUGAUACCAAUUGAUGAAACAAAAACAAACUUUAUGCCCUUAAUCGUGCAUUUCAAAAUUAAACACAUAGUUUAGGAAAUUUCGAAAUUACCGUGAUCUCCCAUAAAUCCGACCUUGAAAGCUUGUUAUGGAGCCUCAAGAGAGUUGCUACUUGCUUGAUCUAGCUUCUGAAUUCAGUUUCCCUUGCUUCAGCUCACGGAUCGACUUUGCUUCUCUAAGUUACUGUACACACAAACACACACACGGGAGAGAAGAGGGAGAGAGAGGUGCACUGCACACAUGCCACUAAUUUUUCCAACAGUUAACUCCCAAUGGGCUGAAGUUACUUAAAUACAGCGGUUGAGCGCAGGGACCCCUCAUGUGUUAGUACAAAAUUGACAAUAAAAUUUAGAACCCCUUGAGCCUAUACAAUAGCCAAUAAAAUGACCACUAAUGGUUUUCGGAUCAAGUUUCCUCGAUUGUGGAUUAUAGGGCCUCACUUCUGCUUUGCAUCCCCAAACAUGGAAAUGAUAAAGACUAGGUCUCUUCCCUGACCACAACUCAUAAGGAGUUUUAGGCACCGAUUUACUAGGUACCUGAUUCAAAAUGUAAGCUGCAGUUCUUAAGGCUUCACCCCACAGAAAAUCUGGUAAGGUGGAGUUACACAGUAUACACCGCACCAUGUCAAGAAGGGUACAAUUUCUCCUUUCUGUAAUUCCAUUCUGUUCAGGAGUCUCGGGCAUUGGUAUAUUGGGCUUCUAUUCCACAUUCCUAAAGAAAUCGAGCAAAAGGUCCAGGAUUACGCCCAGUUUCAUCAUAUCGCCCAUAGUACUCACCACCUUUGUCUGAUCUUACUGCUUUAAUUUUCUUGCCCUUUUGGAGCUCAACAUUAGCCUUAAAGGCUUGAAACACAGAUAAAGAUUCAGACUUUUCAGCAAGAAGUUCAACAUGACCAUAACGAGAAAAGUCAUCGAUGAACGUGAUGAAGUACUUAUAACCUCUAAUAGCAAUAGGAGUAAAUAGCCCACAAAUGUCUGUAUAUACCAACUCCAGCACCUGUUGACUCCUCUGAGUUCUCUCUUUUUGAAUCCACUCAUAUAUGCUUGAUAAUCCUUUUGUUAUUGCUUCCUCAGCUCAUUCUCUCAAACAGUUUUAGCUUCAUUUCUGUUUCUUUUACGAUUGCUUAAGUGUUUCUUUAUCAAAUAUCAGAGUGUUUAGAUAAAUCUUGGGGAGUCUUGGUUGAUUAAUUUCGAUCAAGGUCUAACAACAAAUUAGCAACAUAAAGAGAAAAAGAACAGGAUGGAUUCUAUUUUUCUAUUAUAUGACUUGUGUAUUGAUCAUCCUAAACUUAAUAGAAAUUAAUUAGAACAACCCAAAAAAUAGUUAGACUACCAGCAUAAGCUUAACAAAGAUCGAAAAGCAAACCCUUUAGCUAGCUUAAAUAAAAAUUUUCUAUUUAAUUUCUCAGCUACCAAACAAUAAUUCCCAGAUAUGUCUAUCAAUUAAACAUGCAUGCAUGCAGGCCCCAAAAUAAAUUUAAACACAUAAUGGUGCUUGCUAGACCCUGGAAAUAUAACACUUUAAAAUCAUGACAAACCAUGGAACAAAAGCAAAAGAGUUCGUCAGAUUAGCAUAUAAUAAUUAAAAAAAAAUCCCACAUAGACAUACUUCAUCAAAUCCCAUAGAUUUAAUAAAUAAAAGAACAAACAAAAUCUACAUUUCAGAUCCAGAAAAAAAUCAAAAACUGAACAUCAAUAGUACCAAAUCUCGCUAGUCGUCGACGUGGAACAACUGGUCGGUGAUGGGCGUGGCGUGACACAGAGCUUCACGGGCGUGGCGUGCAACGAGCUUCGUGGGUGAGAGGGGCGGAGACCAGAGAGCUUCUGGGCCUGAGUGACAGAGAGAGAGCGGGUGACUGAGUGAGAGAAAGAGAGUAGUAAAGAAUUUAGCUUUUUUAGAUUUUCUAGAUCUACUUUUAAUAUAAUAUAUUUUAUUGGUAAAGUUUGUUUUUAAUAUAAUAUAUUUUAAUGAUAAAGUUUGUUUUUAGUCUACAUAUCUAAAGCUCCAAAAACGGCACACUAAGCAUGUCGUUUCUGGCUUCCCUAUGGCCUGAGGGGGGCCAAAUAUCAUUUUCCUUGAAUAAAUAAAUAAUGAAUAGACGUUUGGACCACUUCUUUUCUGUUAUAAUAAAACAUGAGAUGUCUUCUCUUGAUGUCUUCGUCACAAAAGAACUGUUUAUGUCAUCUUAGGCUUAAAUGGGGUAAGUAAAUUAAGAUUAAGGACAAGUUUGUUUAAGCACUAAAGUAGUAAAGUCGCUAAAUAAAAGAAAGGCUCGUAUAAAAAUCACCUGAAGCACCAAAUAUUAUUAUUCAACUACGUUUAUAUUACAUUAGUUUCUACGCAAAUUUAUAUAAAUAAUUUAUAACUCCCAUCAUUAUUAAAAAAAAGAAAAAACUGUAGCAAUUGUGGUUAUAUCACGUGAAAAAACUAAAAAGAUUGACAUUAUGAUUUUAGGGAUAGUUGCUGUUCUAAUCAUUACAAUUUAAGUUAAUUAACCAGCUUAUCCUUGUAUUCUUAGAAAGUAGAAACUAUAUAUAGCUCCAUUAUCGCAGCUUUUGUAGCUAUUGGAUUCGACUUUCAAAACAUAAAUAUUUAUUAGCUACAACUUAAAAUUUAAACAAAUCUAACAUGUAAUGUGUGAAAUAUAAAAAGCAAUUAAAUAGAUUUUGAUUGUUUAAUAUUAAAAUACGUUCACAUAAAUAUCUUAAGUGUAGGUGAUACUCAAAUAGUUUUUCAAAAAUCAAACCCAAACUCAAGGCAUUAUCAAUAUGUAUUAUUGUCUAAUAUUUUAUUAUUACUGUAUGUUUACCAUCAUAAGACAAUAACAUAUGAAUAUUAAGUAAAUACACAGAGAACCAACAAUGAAAUUAGGUCUAUCAUUAGUUUCCCGUGGAGUGAUUUUUUGACAAUCCUCCCACAUCACACCAAAACCUCUCACACGGCGUGAACUUUUGACAAUUCUCCCAUAUCCCACUAAAAAUUUACCAUGUUGCGAAAGAUAAUGUCAAUUGCAAUGUCAUUUCCAUUAGCCAUACCGGCAGUUCAAUUUAUCCUAAUUAUUUCAAAAUUUACCCUUGUUAAAAAUAUAAAAAAUAUUUUUUUUAUCAUUUUUUUUCUCUCACAAGCUCAUGAAAAUUCUCCUCUUCUAUAUCACUUUCUUGAAAGUUAAUCCUUAAAAAAAAUUCUCAAAUUGAAAUUGUCGAGUUGAAGGAACAACGUGAGCAUUGUAGUGAGAGUUUGGCAAAGAAGAGAUCCAAGCUCCCUGCUGCUUCAAAACCAUCUACCGCGGCGGCUUAGAUACAAAACUAAGCGUUGUCAGGGCUGAAUACUUUUUGUAGGAUGAGAUAAUUUUGAGUGCUCGACUUUAAGGCCGCCUAUUUUGAUUUUGAUGGCAUGUAACAGAUUCAACAAUUAGACAUUUUGUUAUUUGAAUUGUUGAAUAAUGAACUUAUUUCUUUCAUUGGUUAUUCUUGUGGUUGCUUUUAUAAAAAAAUAAAAAUAAAAAUAAAAUUCACGCGUUGCAGUUAGUCUCUGAUUAAUGGUGAUCAAGAUGUGAUGUGAUGGCAGUGAUGGUAGUGAUGAAAAUAGAUGUUGAGUGAAGAUGAUGGUAGAUAAAGACAGAAAGCAUAUGAGGGAGAAAAAAAAUUAUUUUUUAUCUUUUUUAAAAAAAAAUUCUAACUAAAGUAAUUUAAAACAAUGAAUUAAUUUAAGAUAUGGGAGCUAAUGAGAUCAAACGAGAGGGUUAAAUAUCAUUGCUCUUUUAUCUGUGUUUUGUCUCUUUAUGAUUUUUAAAAAAAUAUUAUUUUUCUUUAAGUUUCAACCUUAGAAUUUCAUGGGUUAGCGUCUCAUAUUUAAGGAAAAAUGUGAUAAUAUUCAAUAAAGGUAGGGUCCUAUGUCACCUAAACAAGAUUUUGCAAUUAUUAAAUAUAUCAAUUAAAGAAUCACUCUUAUCACUCAAAGCAAGUUGGUUACAGUAGCAGCUUCGACUUUCACCGACCAGGCUGGGUUAUCAGCCGGUUAACAGAGCUACUUACAACCCUUCUAAUUUGAUCAAAAUGGGGAUUUAGAGAGUGUCUAAUGACUCAUUGCAAAUCUUUUAAACAGGUCUAGUGUUCUGGUCCUUUUCUCUAGUAUUGGAAGGUUUAGGGUUCGUUACUCUUUACUGUUAAAUUUAAUAGCUUAUGCUCUGCUUUGUUGUAUGCGUUUUCUGCGACGGUCAUUUUGCUAUGAUUAAUCUUGCUUCUUUGAUCCAAUCUUGAUUAUUUGUGUGAUUUCUCUUGAUUAAAGGGUGUUGAUUGAUCAUCUAGCAAUUAUUAUUAUUAUUAUCAUCAUCAUCAUCAUCAUGCUCUUCCAAAACAGAGAAAAUAAAAUAAAAAGGAAAGGAGAAAACGAUUGAGUCUACAACCCAGAAGAAGAUAAAAUAAGCUUAAUGGGAAAUAGAAGGGAAAUUUAUAAGAAUAGUCUUAAAAUUUUUACAAUAUUUGAAUUUAACCCACCUAAUUUUUUUUAUCAUAACUAGCCAAACACCUUAUUUUUGGACUAAAUUACGCUCAGCGCUUUCAUCAAAUUUACAAAUGCAUGCCACUCGAUAAAAUCCAACACAACUAUAAUGCUCUCAAUAAAUCAACAAAUUUCAUCAAACAAACAUUGCAUAAUUGAAGAUAUAAUCAUGAAUUGGAGAACUUCUUAAAAUUAGUUUAUGCUCUUACACAAUAUAAACAUUUAAUCUAUUGAUUUUAUCAACUAAGUUUGAAAUAAAAGUAAGUUUUGUUACAAAUGUUGUUAUUUUUCAUUCGUAAAAAAAUGUGAUUUGUUAAAGUACUUAGUUUGAGUUGAGAAAUGAAGAAAAAUAAUUACAAACACAGAAAAAUCGGGCAAAAAAUGAAGUUCAGAACAAGAAAGACAAGCAGUGGGACAGGUGCAUGUCACACAUAAACCUACUGAUUUUAUGGAGUAUAUGAUUUUAGAUUUGAUUUUUCUCGUCGUAAGCUUCGAAACGGUAUAUUAUAUGCCUAAAACGGACACAUAUAGCCCAAGUUAUGCCUUUCGAAAAAUAUAUGAAAUUUAGUGAGACAUGCACCUAUCCUACUGUCUGUCUCACUAAUAUGUGACGAUUAAGAAUAGGAUAUGAGCACACUAUCAAAAACUCUAUUAGAGAAUGAAAAUCCACUUUAAUAUAUGAGGACAGCUCUUGAGUAUAUAUUUUGAUAUUUUGAAAUCUGCAAAUAUAAGUGGAACCUCUCUACAGAAAUUGGAUGAAAUUUUCAAAAACAAAGAUUUAAACUUCUUUAUGACUUACACUGCAGGGCCUUGCUGCAACUUUGUUGAAAAGAAGUUUUUAUAAUGAUCUUGAAUCCAAUUCAAGAUGUUGCAGAUAAGCCUCAAAAUUUGGUGGUAAAGCCAACGACAAGCAUUCAUAAACUUUCUGCAAUAUGAUAACAACAGUGCAACUCCAAGCAAUGUAUAUAACGAUUUUAGCAAUGGGUGUGUGAAAAAUAUGGAGACCAAUGAGACUGCCGAAAGAGAUCCCAAGAUAAUAGCAACAAGCCCACAGAGUUGUGAAGAAUUUGCUUGAUCACAUUGAGACUUAUAAUCAUGGGCUACAAAUGCAACGCCAUGAAAUAUUAUGGCUAGAGAAACCACAUAAGCUUACUCUAUGGCCAUAAACAAUUUAGUUGUGCCUUGCACGUUUGCGCACAGACAACAGUGGCAAGCCAAGGUCAGAAAUAAAAUGGCCAUCUCUGAAAAUUAUCAAAAUUUAUAAAUGAAUAGGUUAGUAUUUUUAUGAUUUUACUUACUAUAUAUGUCCCUUUGGGGUAGUUCGAUUGAUUGUCAAUGCACUUUACGGUAACCCUAGUUCGAUUUAAAGUACGAGGUAAAAUUUAGUAUGUCGAGAAUAAGGUACACUCAAAAUUUUAAAAUAAUUGUCACUACGCACUAUCCUAACAUACAAGUACAAACAAGGUUUCAAGAAACAUAUGCUCCCAAUCUUACAAUUCCUUGUGUAUUUUAAAGCGUCCCCUGUUUAAGAACAAAUGCUACAAUAUCCACAAUUCACUGCAAAUAGGAUCGUAUGUGACCUAAACAAAAUUCUGCAAUUAUUAAAUAUAUCAAGGAAUCCACACUAUCACUUGAUGCAAGUUAGUGAUAGCAACAGCUAGCUUUGACUUUUGUUGACCAGAGCAGUGAUACAAGCUUACUAACAAUAACAGAGCUAUUUCCAGAACUGGUAUCUUGAUCAAAUUAGGGAAUUAGAGUGUCUAAUGACUAAAUGUGAAGCCUGGAAAGAGGUAAAUUCAUCUGGGUUCUUUUACUAUGAUUGUGUCUUGUGGCAUGAUUCCGGUCAUGUCUCCUCGGACAGCUUAUUUUCAAUUUUCAAUAAAAUAUCCAUCUUGGGACGUAUUUUAAAGUCAAAUUUUGGGUUCAUGAAUUUUAAUAUUGGAAAUUUACAACUGUCCACCUGUUUGUUUUGUCUUUUUCAAAAAUACACAAACACUUUUUUUUUCAGCGUGCCAUCUGAAGUUUGCUUUUUAUUGCAUUCAUCCACUUCCGUCUAAUUUUCAUUAGCAAAUUUAACGGAAUGUUAACGAAAUGACCUUUUCUCAAAAUUACAAUUUAACCCAAAAUAAAUAGAAAUUAGAGAUAAAUUGGAUGGAUUUAAUUUUUUUUCAAAUGUGGAUGCUAGAAAUUGGAGGAAAAUAAUGUUUGUUACUAAAUUUAGAAAAUUUGUAUUUAUUUUUCUCUUUCAAAAAAAUAAAUACAAAUUUUCUAAAUUUAGUAACAAAUACUAUUUUCCUCUAAUUUCUAGCAUCCACCUUUGAAAAAAAAUUAAAUCCAUCUAAUUUAUCUCCAAUUUCCAUUUAUUUUGGGUUAAAUUGUAAUUUUGAGGGGUAAAAAGGUCAUUUCGUUAACAUUCUGUUAAAUCCACUAACGGAAAUUAGACGGAAAUAGACGAAUGUAACAAAAAAUAAACUUUAGGUGGUGCGCUGAAAAAAAAAAAAAAUUGUGUAUUUAAAAAAAAAACAAAACAAAUAGAUGGACCAUUGUAAAUUUUCCUUUUAAUAUUAUUAAAAAUACAUGAGCUAUGUGACACAUAAAGAGGAAGGGAAAUUUACGAAAAUAAUCAUAAAAUUUUUACUAUUUUCACAAUUAACCUUCUUAAUUUUUUUCAUUCAACAUUAACCAAACACACGCUUUUCUCCCCAAAUUACCUUUCUUUACAAACCAAAAGCAACUUUCUUUCUCCAUUUUCGUCAAACCAAAAGCAUCUUUCCACUCUUAAAUUAUCAACCAACGGCGACGGCAAAAGACAACGAUAAAAGUAAAAUCCAAUAAUAAUCUAUCUAGAUCCGACACUAAUCGGCAUCACAUAGUGGUAUGAGUUAUUUUCUGAACUUAGAGUUUCAGUGAACUGCGAGUCAGAGUGAAUCUGGUGACAGACUGCCUGUCGCACGAAGAGCUUACUUUCUUUUGUUUUUGGGUACACCAGGAGAGAGCUUUCGGAGGUACCGAUUAUCUUAGGCAGCUUAGUAUGUAUUUGUAAAUAGUAGAUCUCAGAUCAGAUUUUGUCCUCUCGAUAGUUGGUUAUUAUCUGCAAUAAGCCAUUCAAUUUUCGCCGCCAGAUAUCUCAUUUAUACAUUACACUUCUUGAAUCUGAAUCCUCUCGAUAGAUUAAGUAGACACUAUAUUUCGAACAUGCUUCAAAGACAUAGCAUAUCAAAAGCACUUGAAAACUUUCUCAUCUAUCCAGGAUUGAGUCGAACUUUUGUCAUCCUUGAAAAUUGAUUUUUUGAAAAAAAAAAGAAAAAAGAAAAUGGCAUGAAUUUCUUUUAUUAAACUAUAUACCCCAUUGUAGAGAGAGCAAAAAUUAAAGCAAAAACGUUGGCAUAAUAAUAAACUAAAGAAUGCUAAGAUUUCUAUCCAAAAUCAAAUUAUGCAUCUUCGAACUGGUAAAUAAUAGGCAUUCCUUUGUCAGCUCCGGCCGCCAUUUUCAUCUAAUGCUUCUUCGACCACUCGUGAUUCUUCUUUUCCUUCUCACUACUAAACUUCUUCCCACCUGCCGCGCAGUAUGACUUUAUAUUUCGCUUCUUCUUGUUGAUCUCAUCAUCAAUCUCAUAAUUAAGCUUCCUCGUCAUCAUCAUAAAAUCUCGUUCACUCAGGCACACUCCGAUAAUUUCCAACGUUACUUCUGCUUCAAUACGUGAUCAUCAACAGUGAUAACCGAUGAGGGAUGGACCGCCGCCGACGAGUGCUGAAGUUGCCGCCGACGCCGCCGACAAUGGGAGGUUCUUCGGUUUGGGAGAGAUUGGAGAGAGAGAGAUUGUUGGGGGAGAGAUGAGAGAGAGGGAUAUUUUGGUCUCAAAGGCUUUUUUAUGGCUAAUGUUGAUAGAAGUUUGUUUGGGGGGUUAAGAUGGAAAAAGUCAAAAUUUUUAUGGCUAUUGGUGUAAAUUUCCCAAAGAAGAAAGCGUGGCAGGUGAUACAAAAAAACAGAUUAUGGUCAAUAUAGGAAAAUGACGGUCACAUGGCGUUUCAGUGAAAUAUUGCAUUCCAAUAAUGACUUUGAUAGUGAUUGCUUCACCAGGCAAUCUUUAUAUUUUUACUUUAUAUUUUUAUUUUUUUUUAAUUUAUUAGUCUGUGAUUUAAAGUUGGGUUAAUUACUUCUCAGUCACACAUGUUUUGAUAAAUUUUAAAAAGAUGAUACAUAUUUUAAAAAUACUCGAACGGGUGACAAACCAUUAAUUUUACGUAAAAAGUAAAUUAAUUAAAAAAUAAUAUUUUUAUCCUUAGAAUUAAUUAUAAAAUGACAUUUAUACUCUAUAAUAGCUACAAAAUGACAUUUAUAUCCCUACAAUUAGUUACAAAUAUGUUUUUACCCCUAUUCAAUUAUUUUUUAUUUUUUAAAUAGAAAAAUUAUAAAAAAAUUACAUCUAAGUAUAAUUAAUGGGCUUUUUUUGGUUAAAUCAUACAAUUUUUUUUAAAAUUUCGUGCUGAAUCAAAAAAAAUUUCUUAUUAAAUUUAAUGACAAUUUUUUAGUCAACAAGAAAUUUGUUUGAUUUAACAAAAAAAAAAGUCCGGUAAUUACACUUAGAUGAAAUUUUUAUAAUUUUUCUAUUUAAAAAAUAAAAAAAAAAUUGAGUAGGGGCAAAAACGUGUUUUGUAAUUAAUUGUAGGGAUAAAAAUGUUAUUUUGUAGCUGUUAUAGGGACAUAAACAUAAUUUUAUAAUUAAUUAUGGGCUAAAAUAUUAUUUUGUAAUUAAUUUACUGUUCACGUUAAAGUUAACGAUAAAGUUAAUGGUUUGUCAUCCACUCAAAUAUUUUUAAAACAUAUGGCACUUUUUUUGAAAUUUGUCAAAACAUGUAUUACCCGGAGAUAAUUAAGCCUUUAAAGCUUUAAACAUGGCUGCCUCAAGCUUAUUCUAAUAACACAAAACAUAAGCAACGAAAUAUCAACGCACGAAUUGAAAGAGAACAUUUUACCAAAUUAAUGGACAGUCUCGUAACUAAGGUUUACCCUCUUCUAUGUUAAAUUCUAAUACACAAAUUCGCCGAGAAAAGUAAAUUCUAAAUUAUUUAACGUAAAAGAAUAUCUAGUAAAAUUAUAAUACUUGAAAUAACGAAAACAACAAAAAUGAUAGUGAAAUGUUCUGGAAUGAAAGAUAAAAACUCAGGGGGGAAAAAUCUGAAAAAUAAUAAAAUAACUCAUGGUUCCAAAGGCCCAAAACAAAUCCUUUGCCUUCGCCUUUAAUUAGGUAUAGUUCUUUUGCUUUGUCUUAACAUUUUAUAAUUUACACACCCCUGUAAAUUAAAAAUGAAGCCAUAUAUCUUGUUUUGCGACAAAUUUACAUAUCCAUAUAGAAUAGAUUAAUUAGCUAAUGAAAUGAAUUAAUAAAAGAAAUAAAGAAACAUAUGAAGAAAGAAAGAAGAGAAUUUAGCAGAGAGAAGAAGAACUUCGGCUUCUUCUUGUUCACUUCAUUUUUCUCUAUACUACAAAACAAAACCUAGGUAAUGCUCAUGUUUAUAUAAAACAAUGGGGUGAAAGGUGUCAUUUUCAUUUGUUUAUAAAUGUGGAAUCCAUAUCUUCAGAUUCUACAAUAUUUACAACACUCUCCCUUAGAUUCACAAUUUCUUUAAAUAUAAUUUUAUACUGUAAAGAUUUAAACUUUUACAUUUGCACUACUAGCCAUUGGAUAGAUGAAUGUUAGCUUGAAACUAAGGUAUUGAAGAAAAAUGGCCUCAAAGUUUCGUGGUAAAUCCAACGACAAACAUACAUAUACAUGUUGCCAUAUUGACACACAACAAUGAUAAUAGAAGCGCAACCCAAUGCAAUGUGGCAAAUGAUUUCAACAACUGAAUGAGUGAAAAAUGUGGAGACCAAUGAUUGCGAAGGAUUUGCUUGAUUCCGUUGAGAUUUCUGAUCAGCUACAAAUGCAAUAUAGUGGACGAUUAUAGUUGUAAGAAACACACACAAACUUACUCUAUCAGUCUCCAUCAACAGCUUUGUUGUGCCCUGAAGAUUUGCACCCACAACAACAGCAAUAGUCAAGAUUAGAUAUUUGGAAAUUUUUGAGUACGGAAUUGAGGAAAUGAAAUUGCCAUCACUGCAAAACCAUCAAUAUGGGUAUUUGGAGAGGUUAGCAGAAGCAGCAGUGAAGAGAGGGAAAGGGAUGUUAUAAGCUAAGGGUUAUUUGUUUGGGUUCAAAAUUGGGGGAAUGAAAAAUUAUGAUCACUGCAAAACCAUCAAAAUUUAUUUAUGCCUUCCACAUUUCCCUCUGGAACAAUGGUGGCGAACCAUGUUUGUUAAAGUCAGUAGCUUGUUUUGUGUUCUGUUGAGUGCAUUUUCUGGAAUUGAUCAGUUGUUGUGUUUAAUCUUGAUUUAUUUUUUGUGCUAUUUCUUGAUUAAAGGGUGUUGAUUUAUCUUCUAUCAAUCAUCCAGGGGCGUAUCUGAAUCUAAUAUUGCUUCAUAUUAUUAUCAUUAUAAUAACUAAAUAAUAUUAUUCAUCAUGCUCUGGAGAAACAGAGCAGGAACAACAACAGCAACAUAAACCACAGCAGCAUACGAACCUCUUUUAUAUUAGUGGGCUGAAUUAAAAGGAAAGGAGAAAAUUAUUAAUUCUACAAAACCCAAAAGUAGAGAAAAUGAGCUUACUGGACUUAAAAAGGCCACGAUCUUUGGAAAUUUAACUUAACUUUUUUUUUGAAAAAAAAAUAAAGAUUUUACAUAAAUCAAAAUUAUUUAUUAAUGCAUGAACAAACCUCAUACACUAUUCUAACAAGGCACCCUCAAGUUCAAGCCUUUACUCUUAAGCUAGAUCACAAAUUCACAAUAUUAUGGUCUUUGUUAUGGAAAAAUAAAAUUAAGAAUGUAAUUUAGCUUCGUUCAUUCAUUCUCAAAGGACCGCAGCGUAACAUGAUUCAAGACUAACGUGCUGUUGAAUGCGAAGAUGAAAAAAUGAAAAAAUGCAAAGGAAAGUUUACGUACCUUGAGGGAUUAACGUGCUGUUGAAUGCGAAGAUGCAUCCUCCUCCAGUCCUCCUCCACUUAAAAUUAUUUCUAAUUUUAAGGACCAAAAGAUUGAACUCACUUAAGGUCUAAGUCAUGUUUGGCAAACAGCGCUAGCUAUUUAAUCCAAAUUUAAUCAUGAGUUUAGGGUAUAAUCCUUUUUACUUGUCUUGCCUUUUUAUUUAAUUUAAUAUAUAUUAUUAAUUAAAUUUAAAAAAUUAAUUGCCUAAUUUAUUUAAACUAGAAUUUUAUCUUAUAUUAAAUAUCAAAAUUUAUUCAUGAACUUAUUUUAACAUGUAUUUCAUUUAAGAUUACUAUCAAAAUUUUGUUUCAAUGAUACAUUAAAUCAGUUCUGACUGUUAAAAACAAAAAUUAUUCAGUUAUUAAUUUACAAUAAUAUUGAUUAUUAAAUAUUAAAUUCAACAAUUAGUAGUAUAAUUUCAAGACACUUAUGCUACUCUAUUUAAAUAGUUAUUUUAGUUUUAUAAAAUUAAGUUUAACAUAAUCAUGAAUAAUUAUGACAAACAAAAGAAAAUAUUAUUUAUUAUUCAGUCUGAUAUGAUCUAACCCAAGAAACCAAUAAAGUUGACUCAUAAUUUUUAUUUUUAUGUUUGAUCGCUAUUUAUGUUAUUGAUUAAAUAGUUAAAGAAAUAACGAGAAGAGAAAGCCUUUUAAGUAAUUCUUUAAAGUACGAGAAUUAACUUGAUAAUUAACUGAAGAGUAAAUGAGAAUUUAUCUUUCUAAUUUUACCUCUUCUUCAAUUGCACAGAUAAUUAAAUGUUGUAAAAUUUUCCGCAGGGGACGUCCGUGCAACAUCGAAAAAAGAAAAAUAAAAAGGAGGCUACAGCGAAAUUAAAUAAUUUUUUACAUUAAAGUCAAUAACCCUUUAUAACUACAUAUGCAACGAAUGCUAACUGAUUUGGGCCAGCAGGUUUAGGCCCGUCCCCAGCCUUUCUGUUUGGGCCUAAUACUGCAGUCUUAGAUCAGUCCAACGAUCAAGAAUGAUCCAAUUUGCAUGCAAUUGCAACACCAAGGUUGGUAAAACGACAACAUCAUUUUGCACAAAUUUGAAAGAAGACGGAUGGAUCGUUUACAAACAAACGACAAACUAGCGAGCCCUCCACAAGACAAACGACAUUGUGCUUCGGCCUCAAAUUUGAGAUAACAAUUCAACAUAUAAACUCAAAUAUAUAUUUCAUGGCCCCCGUUAAACCGGUGCCUGUGGCCGCCCUGUCGAAGAGAUGCUGUCAUCAUUAGCUCGAUACCAAUUCAAGAUGCUUAAGAAAAUUGGCCUCAAGAUUUUUUGAUAAAGCCAAUGACAAGCAUCCAUAAAAAAUCUCCCAUACUGAUGUACAGUAAUGAUAAUAGCAGCGCUAAUCCAGAAAAUGUAUAAAAUGGUAUCACCAAUUGAGUGUGGAACAAAUGUGGAGAUCAAUGAGACAGCAGAAAGAGAUCCGAAGAUAACGACAAUAAGGCCCCAAAAUUGUGAGGAAUUUGCUUGAUUACGUUGACAUUUAUAAUCAGCUGCAAGUGCAAUACAAUAGAAAUUUGUGGCCAGCAGAAAAGUACACAAGCUUACUUUAUGGGUCUCGAUCAAUGGCUUAGUUGUCCCUUGCACAUUUGCACCCACAAUUGUGACAAGGGUUGGAAUGAGAUAUCCGAAAAUUUUAUUGUAUGAAAUUGAGGAUGCAUAUUUUUCACCGCUGUAAAAAAUCAUCAAUACACAUUGAUAAUUGUUAGCAAAGGCAAAAUACCAAUAAGAGAGGGAAUUAGGAAGUAAAGAUGUGUAAUUAAAUUGAAGAGUUAUUUAAUUGUUCGGUAAACUUCAUUUGGGCCACUAUUUAUUCCUUUGUUAACAUGAAAUUACUCCCAAAAUUUUUUAAAAUAGUCAAUGUUUAUGAUGAUAGUAAUACUAAAGCAAUUAACAAAAAGGAUAUUAAAAAAGAAGAGAAGACGAAAUGGCAAGGGACUUUUGGUCAGCUUGUGAGUGGGGAUUGAGUUUGUUUUUAAUUUUAAUUUUUUUAAAACAACUUUAAUAUUUUUUUAAAUUUUAAAAAAGGAGAAAUUGAAACUGUAGUAAAUUAAAGUUUACCUUGAAGAAUUGAAGUGAUGAUGAUGAUGAAGAUGGAAGUGGCAGCUUCGUAUCAUAUGGAUCUCGUAACGCAACUCUUCAAGUUCCUCCAUGAAAUGAUGAAGAACUACCUGGCUGCUUAUUAGUUAGUUUCUUCCUUAGGUGCAUGACUCUUUUAAAAGUGCAAUUUGGUCUGGCUCACACUAGCACAUUUGGGCGUACAUUAGCAGAUUAACCGACUGAUCGCUGGCGUCUGUUAGCAAAAGGGACUCCGGCGUACAUUAGCAAAUUAACCGACCCAUCAUAGGCCUACAUCAGCAAACAUACAGACACGAAUAUAUUACCAAGUCAACCGAACAGACAUUCAUUUAGCUGACCCAUGGGGCGUAUACCAGCAAGUUUAGGCGCACACUAGCAUAUUAACCGACCGAUCACCAGCGCUUAUUAGCAAAAAAGGGACCCACAGCGUACAUUAGCAGACAAACCGACCCAUUAUAGGUCUAAAUUAGCAAAUAUACGGACACAAGUAUUUUAGCAAGUCAAUCGACGGACAUUGAUUUUUGAAUUACCUCUUGCAAAAGUCUAUCGUGGACAAUUAACGCCAAGGUCACGAAUAAAAUAAUGAAAAUAGAAAAAGAAAAAAGGAAAAAAAGAGAGAAAAACACUCGGCUUUAAUACAAUGGAACAAUGACAAUUAUUCGUAUCAAAAUAUUUUGAAUGAUUUAUUAAGGUAAUUACGUUUUUAGUUUCUUUAUUUUAGAUUAAACGUCUGUUUAGUUUUCAAAAUGUCCCAACAUAGUCCUAUUGUGCUAUGUUGCAAUUAAAAUUAAUAUAUAUUUUUUAUUUUUUUUAAAAUAAGGACUAAAUGAGUGUUUGUCUAAUUAACUACUUUGAGUCUAAUAAUCAAUCAAGAUAAUAAAAUUAUUGCAAGAAAUAAUGAGUAGAGACUGAUGAAUUUGCCGAAUUAUGUAAACAAGGAAUUUAGUGAAAGAAGGAGAAAUAGUUUCUUGGGUCAACCAUCUUUCAUAAUUUUAGCAAUUUAAGAUAUGCUUGCACAUUUUUCCGGUGCCAUUACUUCAAUUCUAAUGUUCUUCAGCAUCCUCGCUUGACGUUACACAGAAGUAGGGAUGGUAAUAUUUUCCGGACCUGGCCCGGACCCGAAUGAACCCAGAUAAUUCAGACCGGAUUCAACCCGUACCCGAUUUAAUUUUAUUCGGAAUCCGGAUGUAAUUCUAUGAACCCGCAUAUAUCCGGGUCCGGAUCCGGUUUUAUAUGAAUCCGAAAAUCCGGAACCCGGACCUGUAUAUCUUUAUUUUUAUAUUAAGUUUUAAAACUAUUUAAGUUAUAAAUAGAGCAGUUAAGAAAAAAAUCAUGUGCCCUAAUUUGCAAAUUGCAAUUCACAGCCGCAUCGCAUGUUUCCUCUUCCCUUCAUCAAAUCUUAAUCGUCAAAAUUGCAAUUUACAGCCGCAUCUCAUGUUUCCUCUUCCCUUCAUCAAAUCUUCAUCAUCGUCACUCUCAUCGCUUCGCCACCUUGUCCUUCGCAGUUGUGUUCACUAUCAUCAUCGUCAUCAGCCGCCUCUCUAGUCUUCUCUGUCGUGAUUGGCGACGAUUGUGAUACGGGUUGAAGUUGCACGCAGAUCAUGGGAGGAAAUGUUGGUUUAGAUGCUUUGGAGGAUUAUUUAUUAUUAUUAUUAUUAUUAUUAUUGGUGUCGUUGGGAGCUUUGGCUGUGUGGAAUGGUAAGGCCCAAAGAUUCCUUUUACACCAAAAGUUUAUCUUUGUGACAACUUGCGGGUGGAGCUUAGGGAUAACCAUAGGCAGAUUUGGGUGUGAGUAUUCAUGUCUAUUGUCGUUUUGUGUUCAUCCAAUUAGAAAUUCAAAGCUGUAAGAAAUAAUCGAAGAUAUUGUUUUCCACAGUUGAAAUCAAAUUCGGGUUCGAAACUCGGAGUCCGGAAACUCGAUUUUUUCCGGGUUCAACCCUUACCGGACCCGGAGUCGACAAAAUCGAGUUUAUAUCCGGGUCCGGUAAAGUAAAAUUGGCAUCCGGGUCCAGAACCGGGAAGGCCAAACCCUGACCCGCACCUGGAUUUUACCAUCCCUACACAGAAGAAGAUUUUCUUUUACGCUUAUUAAGGAAGUUAAUUGUAUAUUGGCCUCAUCACCCUUUCUCUUUUCUGUUGCAAGCAUGAUGGUAGCCUUUGUGGCAAGGCCAUUUUCACAUCUCUUUCUCAUCGUUGCUGUACCUAAAAUCUGUUCUUGAGUUUUUUGCCUUUUCUAAUUUCUAUUCUUUUGAUUAUUUCGGCUUGUUAUCUCAAUAUAUUUCGUUUAUCUUCAGUUUGAUUCUUACAGCUCCAUUGUGUAGUUAAAGGUGUGUCUGGUAAUUUUCUUUUUUCAAAUGCAUGUUGUACAUUAGAAUUAAAAACAUUUGACACGACUGGUUUACCAAUUUGGGUCAUAAAAAUUGACACAAUUUUUUUUGUGUUAGGUUAAGAUUCAACUUUCUAACCCAUUUACCCGGUUAAUAAUAUGAUUGUUAAAUAGUUAACCAAAAUUAAUUGUAGGGUCUUUCUAUCAAACUCAAAUAUUAGAUAUGAUUCUUUUUUUUUUUUUUUUACCAUGUGAAGAAUGUAUAUUUAUAUGGUAUCCGAUUUUCUAUAAUUCUAGAUAGACCUAAAACUUAAAUAUAUAAAUGUAUACUAUUUCGAUAGACAUGUGUAUUUAGUAAUGUUCAUGCGUAAUAAUAUUUAGAUAUAUAAAAGAGUAGUGGCGAAGCUAAGAGUAAAUCAUUGAGGGGCCAAGUUCAAACUUCAAGUGUUAAUAGUAAAUUGAUUUUAGAUUUCUUUUUCAUUCAUAGUUAUGAUGCAGUUAUCGAGAAUUUGGGAAUUUUGCUUCUAACUACAGUAAUGGGGAUUUUGAUCGACAACUUAGGCCAAUGGCAAUGCCACAUUGGAGCUACUUGGGGCUUGGUCCCAUGUUUAAUUUAAUUUACCAUAAAAGCUCCAGCAAAAAUAUAAAAAUAAUUAAAAUAUUAGAUAUUUCAUUUUACAUCUCCAACCCACAAAGAAAUCCCUAGAGCCCUAACUCUCAUCGCACAAGAGAACAUAAACUACUCACCUUAGUGAAUUUUAUCUAAUUGAUUUUUCUUAAGUGAAUCUUAUGGCAUAUGAAUUAAACUUGAUGUUUACAUUUCGGAUGUGAAUUUUAAUAACAAAUUUUCACGAUCAAAAGGGGAUUGGUGAGCUAAUAAGAAAAACAAUUAAUACUAAAAAAGAUAAAUUAUAUUGAUUAAUUUAUCUAAUGGUGAAAUUAGAAUUAAUUUUACUGGUUGCCACAACUAUAGUAAAAAUGGCAUUUUCAGCUGCGAAAUUUUUUUAAUUAUCAAUGAAAGGGGAUGGGAGAACUAAUUGCAUGCAUAGAAAAGAUAUAUUUUGCAAUUUGAUGAUGGGGUUAUUCUUUAGUAUUUUCAACAAAUGAAAACACAUCGAGGAAAAUUAUUAAGAGGUGAGGGACAAUCAACCCUUAACGUAAGGUCGAGAUCUAUGACUGUGAGAACUAUUAAGAGGUAUUUUACUAUGACUUAAAGUCAGAGCCAUUUAACAUAGGAAUAGAACUGAUAUCGACAGUAAUAUUAACAACAAAUGUAACUGGAUGGAGAACAAAAAACAAACAAAACAAGCUCAUGUGGGUCUCAAAAUAAAAAUAAAUUCAAAUACAGGUAAACCUCAUCUCAAGAUGCUGGACACUCCAUUAAUAUUCCAUUUUUAGAUAAAAUAUUAACUUGUAAGUAAUAUCUUAAUGUAAUAAUCAAACACUGGUAAUAAGAACACUGCAAAUAAUAAAUCUUCUUUUGGGUUGAUUUAUUGUUUACAUGUAAAACUGAAUAAUGAUGACGCGUUUAUUAUCACAGGCGCACUUGCAAUUUUGUUAAAUAUGAACCUUCCUUUGGGUCUAUCGACAUUUACAAAAAUUACGUGCACACAACUAUUUAUAUUCCAAAACAGAUUAAUUUCUACAAGGGAGGUUACGUUAGUGACACAAUGCUUCAAUUAAUUCAUCUCAAAAUAUACAUAAAUAUAUCUAACAUUUGAAUUUAAAAAAAAUUAUCCAUCAAAAAAUUAAAAAAAUUAGGUUAAAGUCUGAAAAGUCAACAGUCAAUAGUUUGAUAGGUCAACUAUUGACCGAUUAAAUUAUUGACCUGUUCAGUGCUGGACUGGUUUGAGUUAUCCGCAACCAAAUCUUAAACCAACCCAUUUCUUAAAUCGAGUUCGGUUCAACUUGACUCGGAUCUUAAAACAACCUAAUCCCUUUUCACAAAACCCUUUUUUUUUUUUCCUUCUGUCUUAAGUAGCGGCCAUGCCAAGUCACCGCGAUAUGGUGACCAUGGCUGGCUUGCUGAUGUAGCCCAUGGUGGCACCUUCCCUGAUCUGCUGCACCUUUUUUGAUGUUUCUUCUUGGCCGUCGCUUUUAUUAUAAGAAGUUUUUUCAUGUCAGUGCGGCCUGGACAACCCAGGUCGAUGUUGGUAAUGCCAGCGAUGGCAGUGAUGCCGCCAGCCCUUAACUCCUUAAUACAAAUUGAAUUUUCUUAAUAUUUUUCUUAAUACUAGAAUUUCUGAAAAAAAAUUAUCUAAAUUUUGAUUUUUUUGAAGAAUCAAAUUGUUGAAAUUGAAAAAUGAGUUCUAAAAUUUUGUAAUCCUUAAUUUUAGAAACGAUCAUAAAUUGUUCUCAAUAAUUCAUUAUGAAUGGGCUCUAAUACCACUUGUUAUAAUAAUAAAACCUUUAGUGAAAACUAUCACAUACAAAUCAUGAACAUUCAUGUUGUAUCACCCAUAAUCAAUAACAAAUUAUGCAGAGGCGUACCUAAAUUCAUAAUGCUUAAUUGCUCUUUGGAGUCAUGUGGUUGGCCUUCUAGAUCAACCUAUUUUCCUAGAGAAAUCUUUAAUUUUCUUUGUGCUCUCUCUAAUGAUGGGAUGUUGACACAUGUACCCUGGAGACCAUAAACAUUUAUAUAGAUAACUUUUUCUGUUGUUAUUAAAGCCAUAUAACUGAAAACCUUAAUAGAUCAAUUUUAUUGGGCUUAACCUUAUAUAACAGUCCGUAUUACAUAAUUAUUCAUAUAUGACACGACUUAAAAGUGUUUGAUUUACUUCCAAGUAUAAGAGUGUCUAAUUAUAUUAUAUCUUGGUGAGUCUGAAGUCGAUCUACAGAGAAAAGAUUUAAUUUUUUUAUUUAAGUUUAUCAAAAAAAUGAAAAUAAAAUUUAAAAUAUGCAAUUUAAUUUGAGAAACAUUAUGAAAUUGAAUCAGUUAGGAUUAUGGAUCCACUCUUAGUAAUAAAUAUAAUUUAAUAAAUUCUUUUAUUUUUUAUUUAUUGCACAAAAGAUUAAUUGUAUAAAUUACAAUUAUUUUCCCAUUAAUUUUACUAUCGAUUAAGUAUUUAAUGUGCCAAAACUUAACUUAUCUACAAUAAGUUAAAAUACCAUUUUAUCAUACUUUAUACUAAGAUAUUUAGAAUUUAUUGUGCCAAACUCACAUGUUUGUCCACAAUAAAUCAAAAUUUCAAAAUAUAAAAAAUGGAUAAAAUUAAAUAGAAAUAAUUUAAUUUAUAUAAUUAAAAAUAGAAUUUGAUUAAAUCAUAUUUUUUUUGCUAAGAGUUUCACCUCACCCUAACUAUUAGUAUUUAGCUACACAUAUUUGAAAUAAAAGAAAUUAUUAAAAUUUAAAAAAACAUAAUAGAAAAUUUAAAAAUUUAAAAAUAAAACUAAUUUUAUUUAUUGAAAAUAUAUUACAAAGAGAGAUGAGAAGAAGAAUUUGAGGGGAAAGAAGAGAAGGAAAGGUGUAGAGAGGUGUGUUCCCCCUCUUUAUUUAUACUAAUACAUGAUUAAUCAACACCACAAAAAAAAUAAAGCUAACUACAUUUUAGCCAUACAUUUGUCUCACUAACAAAACAUAAACCUAAUUUAAUUCACUCAAGCACAUCCAACACAUUCCACUAACAAUUACCACUGCUAACAUAGUAAAAACUUAUAAUUUCACAAUUACCACAUUUACCGUGGUAAAAACUUAUAAAUUUACAACAAAAUUUUCGGAUCCUCCUUAACAACGACCUAAUUUCUCAAACUUCUGGAAUCUAAAUUUGAUAUCUGUACAUUUGUUUGGAGCCCCAAAUUGUAUGAAAUUAGGGUAAUUUUUGAAAACCUCCCCUAAGGUUUGUCCUUACUACACUUAGAGAGAAUGUAUGCAUAUAUUGACAUAUAGCACCCCUGACCGUGUAUGAGCGUUAGAGUGUCCUUUGGUUGUUAACGGCAAUAACGUAAUUGCAAAAAUAAAGAGGCUAACUAUAGAAAGAACGCAAUAGCUUUUGCUUCAUCUCCGUCUUCGUUCUUAUUCUUUCUCUCUCUCUCAAAAGAAUUUGGAGGUAGAAAAGGAAAAAAAAAAAUUCUUCUUUUCUUUCUCUUUUCCCCCCUUCCUUUCCACCCAUUUCGUUCUUUUAUCAAUAAAGCUAAAAAACAAAGGCCACUAUUCCUGCAUCACCACCACUUUGUUGUAUUGCUUUGCUAGCAACAAAAAUUCUAACCCAUGUUAGAAAAUAAAAUCAUGCCAAAUUGGAGGGGGGAGAGAGUGACCCACGGCUGCUGGAAUUGAAGGGGGGAGAGAGAGGGUGAACCGUGCAUUUUGUACUAGAUUUGGAGGUUCGAGGGGAGAAAGAGAGUGUGACCCGUGACCCACAACCGUUGGAUUUGGAGGGGAAAGAGAGUGAGAGCUGUCGAUGGAGCGUGGUGAGGAAGAAUGGGAGAUUGGUGGGUUGGUGAGAUUAGUGGCAUGAGCCGUGAGGGAGAGAGCGAGAGAGGGUGUGCUGUGAACGUUGCGUGUGUGUUGUAAACGGUGUUGCACAGUUCUUUCAAUCAAACCCUAAGAUCCUAACAAAAUCAUGCCAAAAUCUUGAUUCACCAGGCCUUUUAAUUAAGUUAAAAGCUUUUGUUUUGUUAUCUUCUGCAAUGCAAGAAGUAUCGUCAAGUCUGCAACUCCACGCUGCUGCAAGUAUUGUCAGUUAUUGAACUGUGCAGUGAAGGGCAUUAUUGUACUCUCGGUAACAGAGCAAACAACAGUCUUACACUGAUAUACGGUCAGGGGUGCUAUAUGUCAAUAUAUGCAUACAUUCUCUCCAAGUGUAACAAGGACAAACCUCAGGGGAGGUUUCCAAAAAUUAGCCUAUGAAAUUAUUAUUUUUCCCUAAUAAACACAUAAAUAUACAAAAUCAAAUAUUUAGAAAAUAAUUAAAAAUUCAUAAUAUGUUUUAUAAUUACAAAUAUAAAUUACAAUAUAAGCACAAAAUAAUAUUUUUACUCCUUAAUAGAUAUACAAUGUUUAACACUAAUCAAUAUAUAAACUCAACAUUGGAUUAAUGAUCCAACAAUAUUGGAUUAAAGAUCCAAUAUAUUUUGUACUCAAAAGUAAACCGAAAAAAAAAAAUAUAUAUAUUUAACUAGAAAUAUCAGCAAAUAUAUGUUGUACUAUUCAAAGAUUGGGACUGUCUUCGGUAUUAUAACACAAUUUAAUUUUGAUUCUCUUUUAACAAUCCAAUGGUUGAGAUCAAUCAGUUGCUACUCGCAGCUACUGUAGGCCACCUAGAACCCCUUGUUACUGUGGAAUCAUCUUGGGAAUGUGCCGUUGUGAAUGGUAUCUUAUAUGCAUAAUUUUAGGUGUAAAGUAAUCUUUACAAAUUUCAGGUACAUAAUAUACAAAUAGGCGAGGUUCAAACACCGUCAAAAUCUCAAGAACUUACAGUAAUUUUACAUAAUUUCAAUUUUUUUUUUUUGUGUAGUUGCCUAGCUGGUCCAAUCACAACAGAUAUUAAACUUACAAAUAAUAAUGCUAUGCUUACUUAGUUUAAAUAUUUAGUUGAGAUACUUAUUUAUAUGUCAACAAACAUUUAAUGUCAUGUGUAUGAUAUUAAUUAAUUUAUUAUUAAUUAUUAACCUAUCACCACUCAAUGAAUGACAUAUAAUAUGUCACAGUAGUGAAUAUUCCAACUAAAUAUCCAACACGAGUUAUUAAAUCAUCACUCCCUUACAAAAUUGUUUUGUCCUCUUUCUGUUAUACAUACAUACAUACAUAUAUAUAUAUAUAUAUAUAUAUAUAUAUAUAUAUAUAUAUAUAUAUAUAUAUAUAUAUAUGAUAAAAGGAUGGUGUAAAUAUUAUUCCCUUAAAUCAUACAUUUCUUUCUCCCGUUUUUUUUUUCCCUUGAUGCAAACAGAAUACGAUCACUCCUUUUCUUGUAUGAUUGAAAUAAUUCCGAAUAAUAACUACUGUUGUUCCAGUGCACAGCAGAGCCUUUGUUCAAAAUACAUACAGCUAAAUAUUUGGAGUCUUCUUGUGCCCCAAGUAAUCCACUGCUUUGCCUUUGCAGCAGAUAUAAAGUCUCUAUUCUAACAAGGAAAUUCACCCCAAUAAACAUGUUUGCUAUAGAUAUUUUCCAAAAACUAAUUCCUAAACAAAAAUAGAAAAAAAGAUCGAAUUUAUCAAUAAACCAAAAUUAAAAAUAGUUCCAAAUUAUUUAAAAAAUAAAAAUAAUUCAAAGAAGCCGAGUAUAUAUUGUACCCACAAAUUAAAAAGAAAAAUUAAACAGUCAUUUAAGCAUACCUUAAAACAUCAAUCUCAGCAGAUAUAUUGGGUAUACAUAGAUAGUCCAACGGAAGAAUCAUAAUUGAAGAAGCCAUGGUUAUUUUAGCACCUUCGAAGAUUGGGACUGUACUUGGGAUUAUAGCACAAUUUAAUUUUGAUUCUCUUUUCACAAUCCGACGGUUGAGAUUAGCGUUGUUAAUUAUGGCUAAUGCAGCUUACUUAGAUGAUCUGUCCCUGUUGAAUCUUCCUUCGAAUAUGCGAUUACGCGUGGAUGACAUUGGUAUCUGCAUCCUGUCACUAAUCUUUUGACUAAUGUCAAAUUUACAAAAUUAAGAUACGUAAAACACAUAUACGUGCGGUUCCGACACCAUCAAAUCGCGUGAACUUAAGAUAAUUUUAAGUAAUUUCAAUUUAAAAAUUUGUAAUUUUCCCUCGUCGCCACCUCGCUGGUAAAAAAAAAGAAAAUAGGAGCUUUUUUUCCAAUCCACAUGGUCCAAUCACAGAAAAACGUGAACUUCAGACGCUUAAACAUCGCGUACACGGGCUUGCCCGCUCAAUUGGCCACUACUCCUCACAAGUUGAAUCAAGCGGCUGAAACCGGGUGGUUUAGCGAGCGGGUUUGAAUUCUUUGACUUGCAAAUUUUGUUUCCAUUCCACCACCUAACAAACCGUAGAUCUAGAAACAAAACCUAAUCUCAACCGUUCAUCGACCAAGCAAUUUACAACCACAAGAUCUGAAAAAUCUAACGGUUAAUAUCAAUCUACUAGAACUUUCUCUCCCUCCUCCCCUCUAUUUAUGCACACUCUUGGCCCUUACAUGUAAGCUUGUGCUCGGCUCCCUUCUACGUGAAACACUUCGCUCUCUUUCAAAAGAAAAAGCAAAAGAAGGCCCAAAAAAUUAAAAAAAAAAAACUUUUCUUUCUGUGAAGCACAUCCUCUGGUAAGCGUAAUCUCUUUGAUUAUCAAUUCAGAUUUCUAACCAUUCGUUAAAUUCGAACUUUACUUUUAUUCACAUUAUUUCAUAAUAUUUACGUUUUAUUUUUUUACAGUAGUGCUCGUUUAAGGAAGAAAAAAAAAAAACAACUUUGCUCUGUGAAGCACAUUCUCUGGUAAGCGUAUUCUCUUCGAUUACUAAUUCAGAUUUCUAGCUAUUCGUUAAAUUCCAAUUUUACUUUUAUUCACAUUAUUUCAUAAUAAAUACAUUUAUUUUUUAUUUUUUACAGUGCUGCUCGUUUAAAGAAAAUUAAAAAAAAAAACUCCUCUUUUGGAAGCACAUUCUCUGGUAAGCGUAUUCUCUUCGAUUAACAUUUAAGAUUUCUAGCCAUUAGUUAAGUUCCAAAUUUUCUUUUAUUUACAUUAUUUCAUAACAUUUACAAUUUUUUUUCUUUUAAAUUUUUGUACAGAGCUGCUCGUUUAAAGAAAACAAGGGAGAAGAUGCAGAUGCAAACCUGUAACUGCAAUCUCCAUCAUCCAAAUCAUUCACGGUACAUUUUUUUUUUUUCACUCUUGCAUUUUUUUUUUAAUCAUUUAUAGUUUUCAACUUAUUCUUUUUUUUUUUUUCCACUUACAAUUUUUUUCUUACUAUUGUUUUUGCUUUCUUUUAUUUAUUGACUUCCGACGUGUCUUUACUAUGUCAUCAGCGGUGAUUUUUAAAACAAAUGAGAUUUAUUUUUGCGUUUGAGUAAAUUUUUGGAAGCAUAUUAGUUUUUCUUACUACUGUUUUUUUUUUUAAAUAUUGUUUUUACUAUUGUGUUAAUUUCGUUUUUAAUUGUUAUUUUUGAGAUUAUUGGUAUUACUAUUGUGUUAAUUUCGUAUUUAUUUAUUUAUUUAUUUUUUUGGUUUCUCAAAAAAUGGGUUCGAGAUUAUAAAUCCAAAUAAAACCGUGAUGAGUUGGAUUUGAGGAGAUCUACGGGGACAGAGUGAGUUUGAAGCAUUUUAGAUUAAUUAAUGAUCGAAAUACAAUCGAAGGAAACAGUUAUUAAGUUCAGGGAAGGUGAGUCUAGGGUUUCUUGGAAGUAUUUCAAAAAUCAGAUUAUUCAUGCUGGUUGUAUUUUUCAUUAAAAAGAAAAGAUACGUACAUAGUUCUGACAUAAGGGUGACAGAAUCUGGGUCGUUUUGUUCUAUGUUUUAGGGAUUAAAAGUAAAACGACACCGUUUGUGCUUCCUUUUGAAACAACGCUUUGCUUUUUUUUUUUCCCCAUUUUUGUUUUUCAGGUAAAAGACUUUUUCUAUUUUUUAUUCUUCAUUCUUUUAAGACAAAAUGAUACCAUUUUAUAUCUUCGUUCCUUUUUUUUUUUGGGGUAAAAUAACACUGAUUUGUUCCUUUUUUUUAAAGGUAAAACGACAUAGUUUUCCCUUUUUAGUUUUGUAUUUUAUCAUAAAACGACACUAAUUUGUCCCUCUUUUAAAGAUAAAAUAAUAUUGUUUUGUCCCUGAUUAAGUCAGCCCUAUGUUAGGAUUGUGCCUUGUUCUUGUUCAAAAUGUUAAUCACUCCCUAUCUAUUUUUUUUAUUUUAUUUUUUUAAUUUUUUGUAGUGAGCGAGAAUAUCCCAACAUUUUUGGGCAUCUCACUGCAGUUCUCGUCGGGAUUGUGGGUGCGAAUUUUCAGGGGAAAACUAAGACCUUGAUCGAAACACACUCGCUAAAUAUGUGGACUUUUCUGGUCACCAUAGGCAUCUAUUUUUAUGCAUUUUCUGCCGACGGGAAUUCUCGACGCCGUCAAGAAAAUUCUUCCCAAUUCUGGGAGCUGAUUGCAGUUGUUUCGGGGACUGCUUCUGCAGUCUCUUUGGCCUCCACAUUGCUCCCGCAGAACGUUGGUGACAUCAUUUUGUACAACACCUUGAUUUUCUAUGGCAUUACCCUCGUUGUGUUGCUUGUGUAUCACUAUGGCAGAAUUUUUAUGGAUGCCUCUCGUCAGCAUUACAAUGAAAUCUUGCGGCCAAUUUUCUCCGACAUUUGCUAUUGGUUCCAAAUUAAUGACACUUCCUUGACCGAGCAGCCGCGGCGACCACAAGUCUAGAAGUAUUCCAAACUGAUGACAGCGCGGAGCAAAUGAAGUUUUCAGUCUGUGUUACAGUGCUGGUGCUUUUGUAUAGGAGUAAAAGUGAUUUUACACGCUACAAAAAUAUUAUAGUGAUACCAAAAUAUAGUAUAAUUAAGGUGUUAAUGGGAGGCGUUUUUAAUGUCUCCCUAAAGCUUGUUGCUUAACAACCAUAUUUAUAAAGAUUUGUCACUUUCUCCCCUACGGUUUUUUUAGUUUUAUAAUCUCCCCUAUAUAAUUUCCAUUAUUUUUAUUGAAUCGAUAUGUAUGUUGGAUAAUUUUUCAAAAGGUCAGCCACCGUUAAAUUUUAAUAUAGAAGUUGUCGUUUCUGAUAAUUCAUAGAUGAUUAAAGAAUGAAUAUUAAAUUACUCAACUCAUUUUUUUCAUAGUCCAUAGGAUGGGUCGUCGUCCUUUAAAGAGCCAAAAAUUAAUACUCCGUCAUCACUACCUUAAUUAUAAUUUCAUUUAAAAAUAUUAUCGACUCUAUUAUAAGAAUCUUUCAGCACGUUGAAACCCUGGAAAUCCAAUUUUUUUAAAAACUUUUUUCAAUUAAAAAAACAAAGAGAAAAAAUGGUUUGAUGAUGUGCGGAUAAGGUUUUCUUGUUCUUGUGCUUGGUGAUGUGCGUAACACUUUUUUAGGAGGCACGGAGACGAAGAAAAUGUAAUUUAUUAUUCAACGCAUGCUGAGUUUGAAGAAAAAGUUCUUUGUUUCCUUCAAAAAAGUUAAAAUUAAAUAGCCCUUCUCUCUUAAAAAAGUUGAACGGAAACGAUUUCAUACUCUCCAAAUCCGGCCAUAACCCAUGUGCGACGAUGCAUGUGGGAGGAUGGCAGGAUGCUUCAUCUUCCCAUCUUGAUACUUAUAUGGGUCGGAUGCAUCAUCUUUAACAUAUUGAAGUGUUACGUAUAAUUAGUAGAAGAUAACCAUUUGGAUAGAUUAAAUAUGAGAUUUAUUAAUUUUUAUUUAAAAUAUAAACUUUACAGAUUCUACCCAAAUGAUAGAAUUUUGCUAGUUAGACACAUCACCUCAUGCCGAGGGGGUGCGGCGGAUCAUUUGAACUUUUCUCCUGGAUCUAUGUAUAGAAAUCCAAUAAAAAAAGGCAUCAACAAAGAAACAAAUAUAGAAAUCCAAUAAAAAAAGGCAUCAACACAUAAUUAAAAAUAAAAGGACAAAUAUAUGCAAAGAUAUAAUUACAACAAUUACUACUUAAACCUGUAAGGCUGUAACUAGAGAGACCUUGUUGGUCUUUGAUGACAAAAUGCAAAACCUAAGCAGGAGGUUCAGACACCAAACAAAAGACGAAGUAGAAGCACCAAGAUUGGCCAAUUUAUCUGCCGCACGAUUUUCAUCUCAAAAAAUGCGAGUACAACGAGCCUUCAUUUACUCUAUUGAGAGUAAGCGGCUUUUCCAACGAUUAAGCACAGUCCAAGGGGAGGAUCGGAGAUGACCAUUACGGAGAUGAAGAAUCACAAGAAUAAUCACAUUUGAUCCAGAGAUUCAUCCAUCUCCGCUCAUAAUCAAGCUCGCUAUCGGUGCUUAAUCUCUGGUCAAAUAAUUUUUGCCUAAUUGUUGCCAAGGCCUGAAGAGGAUAACUUGUCUAAUAAUUCUUUUUCCUCCUAAAAUCUAUUAGUGACAAACAAGUCCUUCACCUUCUAUUCUUAAUCAGGUGGCAUACUUCUCUGUGGCCCCUCCUGGCGUGGGGAAAACACUACCUGCAAAAGCUGUGGUUGGUGCGAAUUUCUUCUCCAUUUUUGCCUCUCAGUUUGUGGAAAUAUAUGUUGGCGUUGGUGAUUCUCGUGUUCGCUCACUUUACCAGGUGGCCGAGGACAAUGUAAAUGCUAUUUCUUGCUUCUUUUCCAUAGAAAUGGUUCUAUAAAAAAAGAUUCUUUUGGUGCAGUUCCGUCUGAUUUUGAACAAUUUAACUCCAUAACAAAAAUCAACUGUGACUUUUAUGUUUCUUUCAAGCUAGGACACAUCUUGUUUUAGAAUGACUGCCUUUCUCAUACAUCGCUUGUUCUUCUUCAUCUUUUUGUUUCUCAUAAAAAAUUGCGAACGCCUUGGGGAUUCUAACAUGUUUAUUAGAAAUUUGAAAUUAUGAUUUCCCGGAUUUUUUGUUGAUCUGCGUAUGUUCCAUCAGUUGUAUUCAUUGACAAGUUGGAUGCCGUUGGAGGUGGACAAGAACGUGAUGCUACUCUCAAUCAGUUUGGUUGGGACAACAUUGAUUAUGAUUAUUUUUCAAGGAAACUUAAACGUUUGUACUGAGAGACAUUUAAGAGUGUCCCUGUAAGUUGAUAUGAAAUGUUGUUGAUGCAGUGUAGCUUUUUGAAGGAAGAGGGAAUGUGAUCACUAUAGCUUCCACAAAUAGACCCGACAUUCUAUGUCCAGCCCUUGUGAGACCUGGAUGGUUUGAGCGUAAAAUUUUAUCCCUAAACCCGGCCUUAUUGUCCGUAUGGAAAUUCUAAAGGUAACAAUCCACAUUUGCAUUUUUGUAAUAUAUGCUGGUGUCGACAUUGUAAAAAAUGUCAGUUGUACAACUCCCUUUGUAGAUUCUUGUUCUCUGGAUUGCCAACUCUUCAUUUUGAUAUUUUCUUCCUUUGAAAUUGUUAUUUGAGGAUUUGGCAAGCAAGAAAGGAGAAAGCUUAGAAGAAUAUUCUGGAAACAACUUGAAACUGAGAUUUUUGAUACAUAUUAAAAAAAUGAUUACAAAUUUGUUUAUAUCAUAACUCAUUGAGAUCGAACUAACUAAUCACAGAAGUUACUGGAAUAACUAACAAAUUUUAUAGCAAUUGUAGCUAAAAACAGAAUCCUCCAAUUUUAAUAGCUAGGAGUGUAUCAGUUGCCUUAGUACACAUAUGCUGCUACACCUUUAUUUCUUCACAUAUGCUAACAUCCUCCCGCAAGCUGAAUAGUCCAGGUGGAAUAUUCGAUAAUGAAAUUGGCCACAAUUCAAGGCAUUAGUUAGCACAUUAGCAGUCUGAUCCUCACUAUGAACAAAGCUAACUAAAAUUUGUUGAGCUUGAUCUUUUUCUCAAAUUGAAUGUAUAUCAACCUCAAUGUGUUUAGUCUUAGCAUGAUAACUGGAUUUGUAGCCAAGGCUAUGGCUCCUAGAUUAUCACACCACAUUAUCGCUGUAGCUGCCGUUUUUAUUUGCAUCUUAGUGAGUAGAACUCUAAUCCAUAAUACCUCAGCUGUAGCCAAUGCCAAACCUUUGCAUUUUGUCUCUGUGCUUGACCUUGAGACAACAUGUUGCUUCUUUAAAGAACCAAACACCAAAUUCAGACCAAGGUAUACUGCAUAACCUGCUACAGACUUCCUAUAACCUAUAACUAGGGAGACCGUGUUGAUCUUCUAUGACAAAAUACAAAACCUCAGCUGGAGGUUCAGACACCAGAGAAAAGAAGAAGUUCAAGCACCAAGAUUGGCCAAUUUGUCUGCCGCACCAUUUCCAUCUCAGAAAAUGCUGGUAAAACGAGCCCCCAUUUACUGUAUUGAGAGUAAACAGUUUUUCCAAUGAUUGAGCAAAGUCCAAGAGGAGGAAAAUCACCAUUACGGAGAUGAAGAAUCGUAAGCAUAAUCACAUUCGAUCUAGAGAUUUGGCCAUCUCGGCUCAUAAGUAAGCUUACUCAAUGAUCAAGAUAACAGCCAGAAGCUUGCCUAAAAAGCCGAUUGCAUCCCUAAGCGGCAAGAAAAACAGCCUAACAACAGCCCAAUAUGAUCCAUCAGAUUUCACCAGCGUUCAGGGCCCUGACCGAAAACAAUCAAUACAGUAGCACUUACAUCAAAAUAGAAAACCUAAGUCGCAUAACCACCUCACCGCUGGCGCCAUUCUUGACAUUGGCAAUGUUGUAGCACGACCACUAUUGCCACCCUCGAACCUCCCUAACACAACCUUACCCGCACUGACAUCUCAGCAACCACUAUCAGCUACUCAUAAUGACCUAACUCGUGUGACCUCCAACUUCAACCCCAAGUCUUCGUAUUCUUUGACUCUCAACCCGUCACCGUUCUCAACUCUAGUGCCACUUCAAGACCACAAAAGUCUUUUGUACAUGUCGUGACUGGUUCUACUGCUUCAUCAAUUCCUAUGAAAUCGGUUCAGUUGCACAAAGGUGAACCAACCAUCCACUUCCCCGCCGCAUAAAUUCGAUAGAUGGCUGAGCCUUUUAAAUUGGCUAUUGUUGGUAAGUUUUCCUUUAGUUGCCCUCUCAUAGAUGUUAUUCGAAAAUUUUUCAUUUUUUCGGGGCUGAAAGGAAAUUUUCAGAUUUUGUUACUUCAUAAUGGACACAUUUUAAUUAAAUUGGAAAUGGAGGAAGACUAUUCUCGGAUACAAGUUAGGCAAAGUUGGUAUGUUAAUGGUAGAGGGAUGUGGGUUUUAAAGUAGUCUAUUGACUUCUAUUAAUGGGAGAUUCCACUGAGCAAUGAAAGUUAGUAUACUACUUAAAAACCCACAUCCCUCUACCAUUAACAUACUAACUCUGCCUAACCCAUAUGCAAGAAUAGUUUUCAUUUAUUUUCAACAUAAUACAAAUGUGUCUAUUAUCAAAUAACGAAAUUUGAGAAUUUCCUUUUAGCCCCGAAAAAAUAAAAAAUUUCUGAAUAACAUCUAUGGGAGGGCAAUCAAAGGAAAACUUACCAACAAGAGCCAAUUUAAAAGGCUCAGCCAUCUAUCGAAUUUCCGCAGUGGGGAAAUGGACGGCUAGUUCACCUUUGUGCAACUGAACCCAUUUCAUAGGAAUUGAUGAAGCAGUAGAACCAGUCACGACAUGUACAAAAUACUUUUGUAGUCUUGAAGUGGCACUAGAGUUGAGGACGGUGAUCGGGUUGAGAGUCGAAGCAUAUGGAGACUUGGGGUUGAAGCUGAUGCCAUGGUUUGGGGGGUUGGGUUGGAGGAAUGGGUUUGGGUAGUCACACGAGUUAGGUCAUUACUGUUGAAAUAAAGAAGGAAUAAGACACUAACGCAAAUCACACUCCUCUGCACCUAUUAGGAUGAGAGGAAUUUAAAAUAGAGGUUGAUAGUUCAAAAGAUAGAUAAUUGUCACGGGAUGAGUGUUUUGCGCAGCUAACCCGUGCGGCACUUAGACAACUUUGCCAAAUGUUGCUAAGUAAGCCUAGAGCUUCUCGAACUAGAGAAGAGAGCAAUUGAGCCAAAGAAGAAACUUGUAUUGCACAAAGAGAGAUUACAAUGCUUGUUGUUGAGUUUGUUGGAUACAAAUGCCUAAUGCCAUCCCAUAUUUAUAGGGAAGGCUUGCCAAGCUCUAGAGAUUCUAGAGAAUUCUACCACUUCCUAGCUAUUUACAUGUGCUGGAAUUCUAUGGAGAAUUCUAGAGUAUUUACAAGCUCAUGUGCUAGAGUUGCCUAGAAUGUUCCGGAAUUGGGCCAAGCUAGCACUCUUGGCCUUGUGUUGGCUCUCUAGCCCGAAAUUGUGGGCAAUUGGGCUAGCGAAUUGGGCGGUCCGCAACAUAAUGCUGUAUGUUUUGUUGUAGAAGUUGAAUGAUUAUUAUUUAAUGGCAACAAACUAUUAUAUAGUGCUAAACAUAACAAACUCCUGUGCAAAUCAGGAGUCACUAAUGCAACUAACAGCCCCACAACUCACAAAGCAAGGAUAUACUCAAAUACACCAAAUCGUGGACUUCCUAAACACAAGGAACCACUUACAACGUUGUUAUUGACUUGGACUAAAAUCAUUGCAAGAUACUAGGACUAACCAUUACUAUUUUUACAUUAACGUUAACACUCCCCCUUAAUGUAGAAACUUGACAACUCCCAAAUUAUCCCUGAAAUUAAGGAACUUCUCCAAAGACAGAGGAUUUGUAAAUACAUCAGCUAGCUGCUCAUCAGUACUGCAAUAGGACAUCUUGAUGCUUCCACUUUCCACCAAC